Molecule: long non-coding RNA, 69747 nt
Filed under: Populus tremula
Lineage: Eukaryota; Viridiplantae; Streptophyta; Magnoliopsida; Malpighiales; Salicaceae
Description: long non-coding RNA (PTRE_LNC002171)
Rfam family: MIR2912 microRNA precursor family (bases 64486-64641)
Source: RNAcentral
AUAGCCGAGAGCUUCUACUUGUUUAUGAAUACAUGCCUAAUGGAACUGUCGCUGAUCAUCUUCAUGGAAGACAGUCGAACUCUGGUUUGCUCACUUGGCCUGUUCGGUUGAGCAUUGCUAUAGAGACAGCCAGUGCACUUGCAUACCUCCACGCUUCAGAUGUCAUACAUCGUGAUGUCAAAACCAAUAACAUUCUCCUAGACAACGACUUCCAUGUGAAAGUGGCUGAUUUUGGUUGUCGAGAUUGUUCCCAACUGAUGUAACUCAUGUAUCGACUGCUCCUCAAGGGACGCCUGGAUAUGUUGAUCCGGAGUAUUAUCAAUGCUACCAACUGACGAACAAGAGCGACGUUUACAGCUUUGGAGUGGUCUUGAUUGAGCUGAUAUCAGCUUUAGAAGCAGUGGACACCAAUAGGCAUCGGCAUGAUAUUAAUUUGUCCAUCAUGGCAGUGAAGAAAAUCCAAAACCAUGCUUUAAAUGAGUUGGUUGAUCCAUUUCUUGUAUUUGACAAGGAUUUCGGGGUGAGGAAGAUGGUAACAUCAGUUGCAGAAUUAGCUUUCCGGUGUUUGCAACAUGAGAGGGAAAUGAGGCCUACUAUGGAGGAAGUGUUGGAGAUCCUGAGGAGAAUUGAGAAAGAAAAUUACGGAGCAGAAAAGGCAGAUGUAUUGGAUAUUCGUGAGGAUGAUGUUGGUCUAAAGAAGCAUCCUCCUCCUCCACUCCAACUUUCACCAGAUUCUACGAGUGAUCAAUUUAGAGCAAGCAGUUCUUCAACUGCAACACCGCAUUCCUACUAGUUGUAGAGAUAUCCUUAUCCUUUGUGCUUACAAUAUGUGAGUAGAAAUUUCAAGUGUUGUACAAUCAAUGAGAAUGAGUUUAACCAUCUUCUCUUGGUUGGUAUUGUUAUGAUGAAAUAAUUGCAUGAUUGAUAUGCUUUUUGGACUGACAUAGAACUAUAUAUUAUGCGGGAAUUCAUGAUUUUCUAUCAGAAGGUUAACAGAACUACAUUUGUACCAAAUCCUCUAAAGCUAAAUAAAGCAAUGUUGAAAAAGAAAAGGAAUAAAUCCAUCAAGAGAAUAAGAACAACAUGCUGGAGCAAAAUUUCUUCAGGUUGAUUAGGGAUGUGAGCUCUCUAAGACUUGUAUUAUUCCAAUACAAUGAAACUUUUCCUCUUCGCCUAUAGAUAUAAGCAUAGCAGAGUCACGUAAAACACUAUGUAGUAGAUGUGUGAUUCUUUUUCUUUAAGCUUGUUACGAUUAUUCUCUUUAUCUGAUUGUGGGAUCGAUCCUUAACAUUCACAAUGCAAGAAGUGCUGAAAACAUUUUUUUUCAUGUUUCUGAUCUUAAUAUUUUAAUGAUAAUGCCAUUUAUGGCUUCAAACACAGCUUCGAGACAAGAGAAUAGGUUGAAGCAGAUGGGUGCAGCGUUCUUACAUUGAAAGGCUGAAGAUGAAGCCACUAAUUGUUGAUAUAUCACUUUCCUGUUAAUAAAAUUUCAGCUUGGUCCAACUAUAAGAUAAAAAAAAUAUGCUUGGAACACUUGAAAACCUAAAAAAAACUAAAAAUAAGAAAAUAAUACAAUAAAAAUUAAUUGUGAUAAUAACAAUAAAGAUAAUGCUCCAUGUCUAAAACAUUGUAAUUAAGGAUUCCAUGUAAAACCACCACCCAAGGUCUCAGGUUCAGCAAUUGAUGAACCUAGCAAAUGUUUAAACAAGUUUUAAGGGAGAAAAGAAGAUUUAUCAAGGAAGAAAAAAAAAAGGCAAGAGAAAUUUUUAAUAAUGAACCGAAAAAAUGUUUGAAGAAGUUUCAAGGGGCAAAGAAGAUUUAUCACGAAAAAAUAUCAAGAGAAUUAUUUAUCUAAAAAUACCUUUAAUAUUGCCUAUGUAUGAUAAUAACAUUACCAUUACAAGAUAUACUAAAACGCCUAGGAAAAACACCAUAGCCGAAUCCAUAUUAGCGAAGGUUUUUCCUUUCUUUUUUGCCUUUGAACUUUUUUUUUAUUAUUAUUAUAUUUUUCUAUACCCAAAUUUAUGACCAAUUUAUAAACGUUUGUUAAGGAAAGAAAAAUUUAACAAUUAUAGAUCAAAGUGUAAAAUAAAGAGAAAUCUCAAGACCAAUCUCAAAUUUUCUAGAAAAAGUUAUACUUAGUCCCCCACUUUCUUUUUCUUACUCUAUAGUCCCUUUAAUUUUUACAAUUUUAAUUUUGAUUCAAAAAUUUAUUUUCAUAAUAUUUCAAUCUUUGAGUUUGAGAUAAGAGAGAAAAAAACCCCUUGAAAUGGUGAAGAAAAGAAUAAGUUGGUGAAUGAUCACCUUUCAACGAUAAAAUUUGCUAUUAUUGGUGUCAGCAUGUUUUAUUUAACAAGAUGAGUUUGAUGAUGGUGGUUUUUUAUAUUUAUACAUGACUGAAAAAAUAGAUUAGGUUCCAUUUAGAUUAUUUUUUUUAAUUUGAUUGAUUUUUUUCUAUCAACAUCUGACCUUUUUUUAUCCAUUUCCAUCACUUCAAGUGUCAAAAUGUACUUGAGUAUUAUAUUCCUUCUUUAUUUCAAAUUCAAGAGUACAAUGGUUAAUUGAUAAAUUCACAUCAAAAUUUUGACAUCACUUGAAGAUUUUUUUUUCUUUGAUGAAAAUACAUUAUCAAUACCAAGAACUUAUACCUAACUCUCAAAUGUUAAUAAGAGUGAAUUUUGUUAUCAUAAUUUACUAAUGACUAGAACAGUCGAUCGGUUCUGAUUGAUCAAAUCAAUCUCUUAUAACAGAUUAACCUAAGUAAAUUUUUAGAAUUGUCUAUCUUAGAUUUUAUCAUAUGAUUUAUCAAUUCUUCAAAGUAUGCAUAGUGAAGUGUGUAAUUUAAUUUUAAUUAUGUUAUCAAGUAGGAUAUAAAGAUUUUCAUUGAACACUUGUAAUGGAUACUAAUAGAAAUCUAUAAAAUUAUAAAAAUAAUUAAAAACAAAAUCACAUAAAGCCAAUUAUUAGAAGUAUUAACUAAUUCUUUUCUAAAAUAUUCCAUGAGAGUGAUGUAUGGUAUUUUAAGUAAUUUUAAAUUAUAUAAUAAAAGAAAAUAGGAAGAAGAGAAUCAAUGACUUGAAACUCUUUACGAAGUCUUGGUAAACCAUAGAACAGGAUGGAUGGUACAACGUGGUCCAGGGGUUAACACAGAAAAAUGGUGCCGUCUUCCAUUAGCAUAGCUCUUAAAAACCAGUUUCGUAAUACUUUCUCGGCAUACUUUUCCUGCUACACGGCAGGCUAUCCCAAAAUUUCCAAAUACCUGUCUGUAGGAAAUUUCUGCCUCAAUUUCCACCAGAGUCAACCCCUUGCCAUGACCCAGUCAAGAGUCAUGUACUAUCUAACCCCUCUUCCAUUAGGCAUUUCAGUACACCCAGAACAACCACCACCAUCACCCCCUUCUAAUUCCUCCACCAAUGCACCCCCUCAGCACCGCCGCUGCCACCUCCUUCCUUUCCACCCUCUUAUCAUUCCUCCACUUAACGGCAUCAUCUCCUUCGAAUUACAUGAUUAAUCUUUCAAACUGCAACCAAAACUUCUCUUGUGGUGCCCUCACAGACAUCACCUACCCUUUCACCGGUGGCCAACGUCCACCCCACUGCGGCCCACCGGAGUUCCGGCUCAAAUGUGAUGGUGACUCAGUGACCACCCUCACAGCUAACUCACUGACUUACCGAGUCACUCAGGUUAACCAAACCAGCCAAAUUUAAGGCUCUCACGUUCAGACUUCUACGAUGAGUACCGUCCAUGCACAUACCAAUCCACCACCAGCACUUUUGAUAACGGUAGCUUCAGUCUUGUCUACCACAAUGAAAACCUUACUUUUUUUUAUGGGUGCAAGGACUUAGGUGACUCUGUCGAUAAAAAAUUUAAGCUUCCAUGUCCCAUGCCAGGAGAUUCAGAAGAAGGGUUUUUCAUGAUUGGUGAUCCUGUUUAUGGUCUUCCUUUUAAGGACAAGUGUUGGACUAGUUUUCAAGUGCCAUUUCUCCAGAGUCGGGCACAACAACUUAGGGCUAAUGGGUCAUCAUUACUUGUUGAGGUUUUGAGAGAAGGGUUUGAUGUCAGUUAUAGGAAUCCUUACAGUGCUGAUUGUCAGAAAUGUUCCAAGCAUUCUGGUAGGCAUUGUGGGUUUGAUGGUAAAGUACCUAUUUGCAUCUGUAAUGAUCACCUCUGUCCUGGUAAGUUAAAAAUCGAUGUUAAUUUUGACUAGCCAAAAUCCUCUAGUUUCCUUAAGAGUUUGGUAGCUUUCAAGAAAUACUAGUAGGCCUUCUUGUGGUAAUUGAUAUGGAGGGUUUUUUUAAUCAAAUUAUGCAAAGCUUCAAUGAUUUCAAGAAUUAAUGCUUGAAUUGCUUGAAAAAGGAAAGUUGUUUUUAAAAGUAAUUUUUACUAGAAAAUAUAUUAAAAUAAUUUUAUUUUAAAUGAGCAUAUAAAAACAUUAAAAAUAUUAAUUUAAUUUAAAAAAAACAUUUCUACAAUAAAACAAUAAACACCACCAGAAAUUCGCUAAAUACCAACGGACUUACCGACGGAAUUUUUCGGCCGAAAUCACCGACGAACAAUAUUAAAAACGUUUCUACAAUAAAAAAAAUGAAUGAAUGGAGUGACAUAAACAGUAUUCAAGAAAGAAUUGUAAAGCUGCCAUGGAAUGCUUAGCUUAAGUUUACAACAAUAUAGAUUAAAACAUUAAGGAGUUCAGAAAAUAAAGACAUUACCUAAUAUAUCACACUUAAUCUAAAAAUUAAUUCCUGAACUUUAUUGAAUUUUAUGUCUGCUGAGACUGAUUCUAUAUAUUAUUUGUGCCAUGGAAUGGUUCGCUUAAGUUUACAACAAUAUAGAUAAGACAUUAAGGAGUUCAGAAAAUAAAGACAUUACCUAAUAUAUCACACUUAAUCUCAAAAUUAAUUCCUGAACUUUAUUGAAUUUUAUGUCUAAGACUGAUUCUAUUAUUUGUUUAUUACUAAUUAAGUACGACAUCUUCCAUUGGUUGUCGUCAUCACCAUCAUCAUGAGUCAGCACAUUCCACUUCUCUGUCUUUAGGGUAAUUUCAUUUUUUUUAUUAUAGUUGCUGAUCACCAAUGAAAGUUGUAAAAUUUUCUUAUAUCAUAAACUUGCUUGAUGUACAUGUUACAGGAACAGGAUCUUCAAGGUUUGGUAAGGGUCUUAAGAUUGCUACAGGUGACUAUAAGAAUAAGAAUCCAAUAUUUUCAUUUGAUGACGAUGACGUCGAUAAUAAUGAUGAUGAUCAUUUUCUUUUACAGCCAUAUCAGCAGUUAUGGCUGCGAUAAUUGCUUUUUCUAUAUUUGCAAUUUGUUUCAGUGGAAGAGAAGGCUCAUUUAGUGGCAUUAUAGCAAUGACCUUCAAGCUGAAGAGUUCACAGAAUGUUGACAGGUUUGAAACAUUUAUGAUGGACAAUCAUUGUCUCACCCCAAGGCGUUAUUCAUAUUCAGACAUUAAGAAAAUCACCAACUCAUUCGCCAUAAACUAGGAGAGGGGGGAUUUGGUAAUGUAUACAAAGGAAAGUUAACGAACAGUCGACUUGUGGCCGUAAAAGUCCUAAAAGAAUCUAAAGGUGAUGGAGAAGAGUUCAUGAAUGAAGUUGCGAGCAUUAGCAGAACUUCCCACGUGAAUAUAGUUACACUUUUGGGUUUCUGCUAUGAGAAGACUAAAAGAGCUUUGAUUUACGAAUUCAUGACCGAGGGUUCUUUAGACAAGUUCAUAUCUUAUGAAGGAACCCCUGAUACAAAUUUUGGUUUACAAUGGGAAAGGUUUUAUGAAAUUGCAGUUGGUAUUGCUAGAGGUCUCGAGUACUUACAUAGAGGUUGUAACACUCGAAUUGUGCAUUUUGACAUAAAGCCUCACAACAUUCUUCUCGAUGAAGAUUUUUGUCCAAAGAUCUCUGAUUUUGGUCUAGCAAAGCUAUGUAAGAGUAAAGAGAGUAAGGUUUCAAUGACAGGCGCAAGAGGGACUGUCGGUUACAUAGCACCUGAAGUGUUCUGCAGAAAUUUUGGAGGAGUAUCUUUCAAGUCUGAUGUGUAUAGCUAUGGAAUGAUGGUUCUAGAAAUGGUCGGAGAAAGAAAAAAAAAUUAUACUGGAUCUUCGGAAACCAGUGAAAUGUAUUUCCCUGAUUGGUUUUACAAGUAUCUUGAACCGGGAGAGAUUACAUUACUUCAUGAGGGUAUAUCAGAAGAGGAAGAAGAGAUUAUAAAAAAAAUGAUUUUAAUAGGUUUGUGGUGCAUCCAAACAAUUCCAUCGGAUAGACCAUCAAUGACAAAGGUGGUAGAGAUGUUUGAAAGUAGUCUUCACUCUUUGCAAAUUCCACUAAAACCUUUACUUUCUUCACCUAAAAGGUCUACUCCAGAUCACUCUUCCACUAUAUCAUCAAUGCCAAGUGUGUCCUCACAGGGGGGUGGAGUGAACAAAUUGUCAAUUGAUGAAAGUGACUUAGAAUUAGAGAUCUCAAUACUUUGUGAAGCCAGAUGAAGAUAUAAAAAACCUUAUUUCAUGUCCUUCAUCUAAGAGCUGCUUCUAGGCUGAAUGGUUCUUUGAUAUAGCUUACCAGAGGAUACUCACACAGGAUUGGUAAGAGACACUAUCGUCUCUCUCCAUCUCUUUUUUUCACCACUGAUGCAUACCAAUUAUAAUAUGUACUUCAUGUUCAAUCUGCUGAAAUUGUAGAACGUUUUGUUCCUGCUUGCAUCUUAUUGUUUAUGAUUUCAAAAGUUAGAGGUUCAACUUUAUCAUGCCUAUUGUUAAUGUCAUCUGUCCUGCAUUGGAACUUUUUUAAUGGACUUUCAUAUUUUUCUUACUCUGUUUAUUUGAGAAAUAUAUUUCCCGGCUUGGUUUUAUAAGCAUCUUGAACCAAGAGAGCUAACAAGACCUCAAGAGAGUAUGAUAGAAGAUGAAGAAGAGACUGUAAAGAAGUCCACUAUGGGACGAGGAAAAGAUGAGAAGAUGAUCUUUGUGGGUUUGUGGCGCAUUCAAACAAAUCCUUCAGAUAGAGCAUCAACGACAGGAUGUGGAUAAUGUAUGUUAAUUGCAAGCACGCAGCACUGAUAGGAAACACCAUCCUCUCUGCCUCUAGUUUUUGUCAAUGGUAAUAUGUGUUAAUUAUGAUUUGUACUUGAUGCUCAGAACUGUAGAAUUAAUCUAUCAUCCGUCACUAUUAAACAAGUUCAAAAUUUAGAAGAAAAAAUUGCAGGUUAAGGUAUAUCAUAACUUGUGGUUAAUUGAUAUCUUAGGGAGAUGAUGAUUCCUUGUGUCAAUUUCAGACGCAUCUUCGCUACCUAUCUACUCUGUAUUUGCUAGGGUAAGGGUCUUAUUGGAUCACUACUGAGCUCCCAUAGUCUCCUUCAUGUGCUGUAAAGCUCUUCCUGUUAUUUUGGUAAGGUCCAGGAGUGCUUCUUUCUUUCAUGUUGAAGGCAUUUUGACCAUUUUAAAUUUGGCAGAAUAUGAAAUUGCUUACUCAGCAGAGCUUGACUAUGAGUUUAUUUGAAAUGCUUUCAACAUUCCCUAUCACCAAUCAACAUAACUCAUGUUCGUAUGUAGGAAUCUUAGGAGCACCCUCUUCUUAAAGCUCAUAUAAGUUUUUCAACGUUCUAUGAUCCCCCAAGUUCUGAAAAUCCCCUCCUUCAGAUUUCUGCUAAUUGGACUGAAAUAAUUCUAACCAUUAAAAAUUAAGGACCAAAAUGAAAUUUUAUAAGUAAUUUUGGGACAUCUAUGAGUUUUACCCAUCAAUUGAUUAUUAUCUUGUGUAAUUGAGGAGCUUGUGUAUACUUCUUUAAAAAAAAAUCAGAUAAGAAGGAAAUACUUAUCUAGAUAUAGGUUUGAUUAAGAAAAAGAGAUGUUAAUCAAAGAGGUAAUUAUAGGCCAGCAACUAGAAUUCCAGAAGUUCUUUCUAGUUAUAAGAAGAAGAAGAAAAAGCAAGGAAUGAUGGGAAACCAGUGCUUGUGAGUUGUCGUACAUGGAUGUGUAGUGUUGAGGGUUCAAGGAGUCACUAUCUAGUUAUUUAGUUUAGAAUUGCUAGGAAACCUGGUUAUAUUGGUUUUAUCAUAAAUUCAAGGGUAAGUGACUGGUUGUGGUUAGAGAAGGUAUUAACACACUUUACCUAAGGUAAGCUGCUUUGUGUGGUUUUGAUGGAUUUUAAAAGUUUUUAUAGGUUCCUAACCUACAAUCAAUUUAUGGAUUAAGAUGAAGGCAAAUGGGUUUUCUACCACUCGUGGGUCGUAGUGAGAAAAACUUUCAAUUAAAAUAAGUAAAUGUUUAGUAUAAUUUUGAGAAUUUUCUAGUUAAUUUCUAAUAUUUAAAUACCAAUCUAGUUGUAGGUCCAACAUUUAUACCAGAAUAUUUACCAUUAAUUUUCAUAAAUUAUAAUUUUAUCGGUUAUAAAAAAAUUGAUUAAAUUCUCAUGAAUUCAAUAAAUUGAUUUAUUAAAUCCAAAAUGUAAGCAAUAUAUAUAUUAUUUUUGUAUGUAAAUACUAAAACACCAAGUAUUUUAUUUUUUAAAGCAAAAUAUGAUUUUUUAUAUUUUUGAGAGACUUCAUCAUUUGCAAAUUAAAUAAAGAUUGUAUUUUUCAAAGAUAAAUUUUUUGUUAUUGUUUUUGUGGAAGGAAAACAAUCCAUUUAAUACCAAAAAAGCACCUCACGUGUAGGUCAAAAUUCUAAACAUUAAAUAUGUGAGGGUAAAAAAAGUGAGGAAAUCAAAAUUGAUUCAAAAAUUGUCUUCCAAACAUUAAGAAAAUAUCACCAACUGAUGAAAGACGUAUUUGGCAAGACAAAAAUAAAAUAUUUUUUAUCAAGACUAUUUUGACCUCAAUAUCAAUCCAAAACAAAUUAUCGUUUACCAACUCAAAACCAAACAACACCAAACAUCCACACAUAUUUUAUUAAUGUCACAAACUUAUAUUCAAAUUCCAUGCUAAUUCAAAUAAAGUAACAUCAAUCCAAGCAUAAAUCAUGCAUCAAUAUUUAACAUCUUCAAACCCAAACCCAAAAAUAGGAAACCUAUAAUUCAACACAAUUAAUCAAGUUAUAUCGAGAUCCAAACACAAAUCAAACCAUGUUAACAAUCUAAAUAUUAUACAAAAUAAUAAGCUUUUUACUCCAAAACUUCACAAUUUAUCGCAAUUUUGUCUAAAAAUUGUUUGAGUUCAUGAAUCAACCUUCCGGGAUGAUUGGAAUGGCCAGGGUAUAAUUCUAUGGACACUAGAAGGCCGUUGGGACAAUGGCGGUGCAUGGAUUUAUGCACUACCACUAGAGAAGCGUGGAGUCACUCUCUAGUGACCCGAACAAAUAUAGACCCACUAGAUCGGGUAGAUCAUCAACCCCCUAUUUUUCUUUUUCUUUUUUGCCAAAAGUGAGGCAAACAGAGAUCUAAGGAGGGGAAUCCAACCAUAUUAAGCUUUGGCUCCCUUCUCCGCUCUUUUCUCUUUACAUGACUGCUUUCCUCUCUUGGUCCUAUCGUAGAUGCGAUCGGCAGCAUGCAUAGAGGAGGAUAUAUAAAAGGAAAGAGAGAGAUCCUAAACAACUCUAGAGAAUGAAGCAUCCAUGGAAGAGGAAGCGUGGAGAAAUCCUGCUCACUUCAUAAGAGUUCUUCUUUCUAUUAUUUUUCUCUUCAUUAUGUUUAAAUUUAGUGAGUUUUUUUGUUUGUUUAGAUUAAUAAUGAACUAAUUUUUUUAUUAUAGGGCUAGGAUAUAAUCUUUGAAUUCAUGACAUGAGUUGAAUGUUGUUGAAUUACAUAUAUUUUCUUGAUUUUAAUUUGAUGAUUUUGGUUUUCAUCCUUGUAAUUUAUUGGCUAUGAAUUGCAUAUUUAAGGUGUUCAAAGAAGUAACAGAAAGUUAAAGUUCAAUAUCAAUUCAUGAAUUCAUCAAACCUUGGUAGUAUAGUUUAGAAGUAAAUACACAUUAUUAUGACUUAUAUUCAAGAGUUCCACAAAAAUUAAUGAAUUUAUAUUAAUUUCUAUGAUAACGAAAGUAUAUAUAAGAUUAAUAUAGAUAUAAUUGUUAUAUCUUGAAAAAGGAUGUCAUAUACAAAAGGAAAUUCAGUCAUUGCAAUUAGCAAAAUAUUAGUCCAAGAAACUAUAUUUAAACUCAUGGAAAGAAUUCUUUUUGAUGAAACCCUACACCUUAGAAACCUUUGUCUUUGAUUCUAAUGCUCUGUUUGUUUCAAGGAAAAUGAAUUCUUGGAAUUCGUUUUCCUUACUUUCCCAUGUUUGGUAACAAUAUAGAAAAGUAAGUCAAUGGAAACUUAAUUCCGGUCAACAUAAAACAACUGCUUUAUCAAAGGAAAGUGUUUUCCAUUUGAUAAAGAAAGGAAAACACUUUCCUUUUUUUAUUACACCCAUUUUCAGAAAUCACGAUCUCUCUCUUUCUCUUUAAAAAUGAUUGGAAGCAGGAACAAUUACAGAAGCAUUUCUCUAGACAAUUGAAGCAUUUCACUUGAACAAUAUUUCAAGUAUUUUUUUUCUCUGUUAUUUUCUUUAUGUUUUUAUCUUCUUUCGUAGAUCUGUAAAAUUUAUUCCAUAAAUCCAUUUCCCUAUUCUUGAUAAAUCUACUACCUAACAUAUGUUUUCCAUAACAUUUUCAUAACACAGCUAAAAUUCAUCAAGCAAGCCACAAAAAACACAAUUUUUCCAUGACAGUUUUCUUCUUCAUCACACACAUUUAGCAUUUUUAUUCUGAACAAACAAACCAAAUCAAGUGCACAAAAUCAAGUGCAGAGAAAGGCACUUGAAAAUCCCCAAACUGUGUUAAUCAAUCUUCCCCAGCAAAAAGCAUCCCCUCCCUGUUACCUCAUCCCUGGAUCCAGCCACCAUAUCCCGGGUGGAAGCUGUCUCUUUUUUUUUUAACAGUAGCCGGGGGAGAGAGGGAGGAGAACUGGGAAGGAGGAGCCAUGUUGCCCCUUGAAUCUUUGAUCUUUGUCCAGCUUCUUUGUCUUGAAUAUUUGCUUCUUUAUGCACAAAUGGCUAGAGAAAUAGAGAGGGAACACGGGGAAACCGAUAGGGAAUAGAGGCAUGAGAGAAACCGAGAGGGAGAGGGAACAGGGAACAAGGAACAGGGGAAGGGGAAUGAGAGAAACCGAGAGGGGAAUCGACCGAGAGGGAGAGGGAACAGGGGGAAUCAAUUGAGAGGGAAAGGGUGAGGGAACAGGGAAUACGGGAAUGGGAGAGGGGAAUUGACCGAGAGGGAGAGGGCAGGGAACAGGGAACAGGGGAAUCGACCGAGAGGGAGAGGGAACAGGGAACAGGUAACAGGGGAAUGGGAGAGGGGAAUGGAAUUAUAAGCUUUUAAUUAUACUUGUGAAGUCAGGGGAAGGAAAUUUGAAGGCUGCGUGUUUGUAUAAGUGAAAAUGUGAAAUGAAAGAGAUGAUGAGAGUUUACUAGAGAAUGUGAGCUCCCAUUUUUUUCCAUGUGUUUGUGCGAGAGUUAAUGAGCAGGGUUUAAAUAAGCUUAAAGCUUGUUGUUCUGUUUUUAUUACUUGGUGAUUUAUAUAUCUCUAUAUUCAUAUGAAUGAUAUAAAUCUACUUGUUUUUAUGUAAUCAUGUGAAAUGACUACCUUAAUUAUAUAUGGUCAUAUUAUUAUUGUGAAUAAUUACACCAUUACCGUGUGAAAUAGGAUGUUUAAAUACAUGUUACAUUAAUAAGGAGAAUUAUAACAGAAUAAUAAACAUUGUUUGUCAGCUUCUUUCAGCAUAAUUUAUUGUAUUGAUUGUGGAAGUAUUUUAUAUGUUUUUUUUAAUAUUCGUUUCCCCAUAUUUUUAGGUUUUGUUAUCAGAAAACUUCACUUUCAUGUUAUGGAUAGUAAGAUAAUUCAUGCAGCAUGUAUGGGAGCAGCUGUAACUGUGAUAGCUACAGGGGUAGCUAUUGAACAAGAAAGAAAUAUAAUUUAUAUACCAAGAGAACCACGUAUAAAUGCAAUUGCUCAACGAGAAUUCUAUAUUGACAGCAUUUUGAAUCGAGGUGAUAGACAUUGCGUUGAACAAAUUCGUAUGAAACCUGUUGUCUUAUAUAGAUUGUGUGAUAUUCUCACAAGUCGUGACCUAUUACGAUCAACUCAAAAUGUGUCUAUUAGGGAGCAAGUAAUUGUGUUCUUACAAAUUGUAGGCCAAAACCAAAGAUUUCGUGUUAUUAGUGGUAUAUACUAUAGGUCUGUUGAAACUAUCCAUCGUUACUUUAGAAUUGUUUUAAAAGCAGUUCUUAAGUUAUACAAACACCUUAUUAAAGAUCCAGAGGAUACAGUUCCAGCUGAGAUAAUGAAUAAUCGAAGAUUCUAUCCUUAUUUUAAGGUAUGAAAACAAUACCAAUAUUUUUAUACAUUAAUUAAUUACAUCUAAAGAAAAGGUUAUAAAUUAUUUUUUCAUGUUUAUAUAGGAUUGUGUGGGAGCAAUUGAUGGUACCCAUGUUCCUGCAAAUGUUCCUGUUGAGAUUCAAGGAAAGUUUAGAGGUCGAAAAGAAGGAACAACACAAAAUGUUUUAGCAGCUAUAACUUUUGAUUUGAAGUUUAUAUAUGUUUUAGCUGGUGGGAAGGAAGUGCCCAUGAUUCACGGGUUUUAGGUGAUGCAUUAUCAAGACUUAAUGGUCUAAAAAUUCCAGAAGGUAUAUAAUAAAGUAUGUAUUAUAUGCAAUAAACAUAUAAAAUGUCUUGUUACAUAAAGAUAGUAAUAGGUUUUUGUUUUUUAAUUUGUAGGGAAAUAUUAUCUCGGUGAUGCUGGUUACGGUAUUCGAAAAGGAAUCAUUUCUCCUUUUCGUGGAGUUUGAUAUCACUUGAAUGAUUUUACAGAAAGUUCACCAAAAAAUGAAAAUGAGCUAUUUAAUCUUCGACACUCUUCAUUGAGAACCGUUAUUGAGCGAGGGUUUGGUAUUUUGAAGAGUUGUUUUAGAUCAAUUGAUGGAAAAUCUUUUUGGUCUUAUGAAACACAAAUAGAUGUUGUGCUUGCAUGUUGUAUUAUUCAUAAUCACAUAAUGGAAGUAGAUCCUUAUGACUUUCUUAUGGAGAAAAUAUGUUCGGAAAGUCAACCAAUUAGACGAACAAUCAACUUAAGUCAACGGGAGGAAAGGGAAGAGAAUAGGGAGUGGAUAACAAAAAGAGAAAUGAUUGCAUCAACCAUGUGGAAUGACUAUAACACUCAAAGAAACUAGUAAUUGAGUGUUAAUUAUAUGUGUUUGUUUUUAUUAUGUCUUGCUUGAGUUUGUAUUAUCUUUGUUUUAUAUAUGGAGUAGAUGUUGACUUUAUUCUAGUUUCUCUUUUAAUUAUUAAUUGUAGUUUUUAUAUGAAAUUUAUUAAAUCUAAAUAUUGUAUGAUUUUAUUUUGUAUAAAUUUAUAAUUUCCUUUUUGUAAAAAUGAGUUCCACGCAGAAUGAAAAAUGCAAGGGCAAGCACUUCACAUGGUCUAAGCCAAUGUCUCACAUCUUGCUUGAGAUGUUAGCUGAGGAGACACUUAAAGGAGACAAACCUUCUUCGACCUUUAAAGCAGAAUCUUUUGUUAAGGUGGCUACAGAAAUCAGUCAAAAGUUCAACGUCCAAUGCGAGCCUAAGCAUGUGGACAAUCAUCUCAAGACUAUGAAAAAAGAAUGGGGAAUAAUAAUCAAACUUAAAAAUAAAAGUGGCUUUGGCUGGGAUGAUUUUUUUAAGAUGAUUACAGUUUUGAAAGAUGUAUAUGAUGAAGAAGUAAAGGUAUGAUAAAUAUUAUACUCUUUGUAAUGUUUAUAUUUAUUUUUGUUUCUAAACUGCUAUACAAUGAACUAAAAAAUUGCAUAUUCUAAACUUUAUGAACAAGCACACCCCAAUCAUGACAAGUUUCUCAACAAAAAACUUGAUAUGUACGAGGCAAUGACAAUUGUUGUUGGAAAAGACAUGACAACCAGAAAUUAUGCAAAAUCAUAUGCUGAUGUCAACUUGGAAGAGAACACUGAAGAGCAUUCAAUUUCAAUUGAAAAUGAAGGUGAAUAUGAAGAAACUUAUAAGGGAAAAGAAACAUCUUCCUCUAGUACAAAAAAGAGGCAACAUAGGAAGAGAAAUCGUAUCUAUGAAGAUGAUGGUAUUGAAAAGUUAUCUAAACAGAUUAGAGAUGUAGCAUUUGCAAUUCAAAGCCUCAGCAAAAAUCAACUUGAUGUUAAUGCGCUGUAUACGAAAGUGAUGAAAAUUGAAAGCUUUGAUGAGAUCACUUUUAGGGAUGCAUUUGAUCAUUUGGUCUAAAAUGAAAUGUUGGCAAAAACAUUUAUGGCAAAAAAUGCUAAUUUGAGAAAAAUUUAGGUUCAGAAUUUUAUGAACCAACACUACUACAGGCCUGCUUGCUAAGAUAGUUUGACUAUAAUAUGUAUGUAUAUGACAUUGAAACUUAAUAUUUAUGCAUGACUAUGUUUGAUGUUAGAUAUUUAUAUUUAUUUCUUGAUGUUUAUUUGAUAUAUAUUAAAGUUAUAUUAAAGGGAUAAUUGCCUUUACCCAUAAAAAAAAAAUAUUUAUCCAAAAUACCCAUCAAAUUAUUUUUGUAUGUAUUUAUCUUUUAAAAAAUUCUUCAUACCAAAAAAAAAACAAAACCCAAAUAUAUAACUCUUACCAUAAACUAAUUUGGCUUUCUUCAUAUGAAAAAAAAAACUUUUUUUAAGCUUUUAAAAUUAAAAAAUAUAUAUAUUAAUAGGUUUUACUUGAUAAAUAUUUCACAAGUUUAUUUCUCUAUAAUAUGAUAUGACAUAUAUAGUUAUAUUUUAUAAAAUAAGCUAUGUAUGAAUAUAUAAUAUAAUAAAAAAAAUUCAUCAUUAUACUUUUUAUAUUUUAUUUUUUUAUUGUAAGUGAUUAAAUAUUUUAUAUUAAAUAUUAUAUAUAUAUUAGAUAAACUUGAAAAAAAAAAUUAAUUCAUUAAUAAAUUAUUUUUCAGUUCAUUUUCCAUAACAUAAACAAACACUGAAAAGUGUUUUCCAGUUCAUUUUUCAUAACACUGCCAAACAUCGAAAAAUACUUUUCCGGAAUUCACUUUCUCGGGAAUUCACUUUCCAAAAGGAAACAACUUUCCUGCAAAUAAACGGACCCUAAAUUAAACCAAAAGAAAUUUGCAUUCCAUUAUUCAAAUUUGAAAUCUUCUUAAAUAAUACAGAAAAUUGAUGAAUUAGUACUUAAACCACAUCCUUGUGGAUACAAUACUUGAAUUACCCUAUUCUAUAUGUCACAAUCCAUACGUUUAUUGUAAAACUCUAGGGACACAUCAAAGUGUAGUAAGAAAGAUAUUGAAUAUUCUUGUACUAGAUUAUGAAGGUUUAAUAAGCAGAAAUUAGAGUAUAACCAAUGAUUGAUGAUUUUAAAGUUGUUUUGCUUUUAGAAUAGCUUGUAUAUAACAUAUGUUUGGAUUCCCUUGUUAAUUUUGCAAUUAGACAAGCUAUAUAGAUGUUUUUAAGAAAAACUUGUCGUUUAGAAGCGUUAUAGUCUCACUAACAACUAAAACGAUCAAUCGGUUUAAAUUGGUUAUGUCAAUCAGUUGACUAAUUCUUGCAAAAUUCUCAUGUAUCCAUUAUUGAUAAAUAUAGAUCAACCGAUUCAUUUGGUUAUACCAAACGGUCAACUAGUUCAUGUAUAAUUCCAAUUAUGAUAGAUUAACCUAGGUGAAUUCUUAGAAUCGUCUAUCUUAGAUUUUAUCAUAUGAUUUAUCAAUUUUUUUAAAGUAUGCAUGGUGAAGUGUGUUAUCAAGUAGAAUAUAAAAAUUUACAUUGAGCACUUAAAAUGAAUACUAAUCUAAGUCUUCAUUUGCUUUCUUUUUUGAAAGCUUGAUUGAUUUUUUCAUAAAAUCAAUCAUGCUUGUUUUUAUACUCUUGAAUAAAAAUGUUUAAAACUUAUUCUCACCGAGGCCUAUUAUUAAACUAUUUUUAUUUUAUUGUUAUAAUUAAAAUAUAUAAAAAUAUAAAUAUUUGAUUUAAAGGUCAACAAUUAGCUUUUAAUGAAUAUGAUGAUAUGCAUUCAAAUUUAUGUAAAUAAUGCUAUUUAAUUUUUUAUUUUUGUUGGAUUGAAAUGAAGGAGAACUAUGGGGAGAUCGUUAGUAAAAUUUGAUUUUUUUGGUUGGCUUGAAAUGAUCAAGAAUUGUUUAGCAAUUAGUUAUAAACAUGAUUUUAGUGGGCUUCUUAAAAUGUAAUGAUUUUUGGUUGGCUUGAAAAUUUUCAAAUACCUGUCUGUUGGAAAUUUCUGCUUCAAUUUCCACCAGAGCCAACCCUUUGCCAUGACCCAGUCAAGAGUCAUGUACUAUCCAACCCCUCUUCCAUUAGGCCAUUACCACACUACCCUAUUUCCUUGCAGCAUUUCAGUACCGCUGCUGCCACCUCCUUCCUUUCCACCCUCUUAUUGUUCCUCCACUUAACGGCAUCAUCUCCUUCGAAUGACACGGGUAAUCUUUCAAACUGCAACCAAACAUUCUCUUGUGGUGCCCUCACAGACAUCACGUACCCUUUCACGGGUGGCCAACGUCCACCCCACUGCGGCCCACCGGAGUUCCAGCUCACAUGUUUUGAUAACUCAAUGACCACCCUCACAGCUAACUCACUGCCUCACCGAGUCACUUGGGUUGACCAAACCAGCCAAACCUUAAGGCUCUCACCUUUACACUUCUACGGUGACAAUCCAUGCACAUACCCAUUCACUAGCAGCACUUUUGAUAACGUUUUCUUCAGUCUUGGCUCCAACCAUAAAAACCUUACUUUGUUUUGUGGGUGCGAGAACUUAGGUGACUCUGUCGAUAAAAAAUUUAAGCAUUCCACCGGUUCAUUUGAUAAUACCAAACCGUCGACCGAUUCACACAUAAUCCCAAUUAUAAUAGAUUAACCUAGGUAAAUUUUUAAAAUUAUCUAUCUUAUAUUUUAUCAUAUGAUUUAUUAAUCCUUGAAAGUAUGUAUAGUAAAGUAUAUGAGUUCAUUUUAAUUACGCUAUCAAGUAAGAUGUAAAGAUUUACAUUAAGCAAUUAGAAUGAAUAUUAAUCUAAGUCUUCUUUUGCUUCCUGCUUUGACGCCUUGAUUUAUUUGUUCAUGAAAUCCAUCAUGCUUGUUGAUAUAUUCUUAAAUAAAUAUAUUUAAAACUUAUUGUCAACGAAAUAUAUUAAUAACUCAUUUUUUUUUUUUAUUAUUAAAAUAUAUAAAGAUAUAAAUAUUUGAUUUAAAGGUCAUGAACAAUUAGCUUAUGAUGAAAACGACGAUAUUAUUUAAAAUUUGUGUAUUUAAUGCGAUUCAAUUUUUUUAUUUUUGUUGGGUUGAAAUGGAGGGGAACUAUGGAGAAAUCUUUUGUAUAAUUUGAUGUUUUUGGUAUAUAAAUCAACUUCAAUUUGAUGUUUCAAAUUUUAUUGUUUACAUGUUUUUUUUAUAUUUUUGAUGCUUGAACAAUAAGUUAUAAACAUGAUUUUUGUGGGUUUUUUAAAAUGUAAUGACUUGGUGCAACAGUAAGAUUGUGAUUUUUUCAAGAAAGUUGUCAAUGGUAAAAUUAUUUUUUUUGUGUUGUUUUUUGUUUUCCAUGGCUCUUUAAUCAUUAAAAUUAUUAUAAUGGCAAACAUGGAAAUAAUAACAAAAUUUUUGUUGAUUUUUAUUUUGGUGCCAAAAUAAAGAACGUGAAGUGUAUUGAAGUUAUUAAAGCUCCUGAGGGAAAAAGUACUUUACUAAACUUUGAAGAAAAAGUGAAAAACGAAAAGUAAUUAUCCUUUUUUAUAUAUAUAAAGCUAAUUAUUAGUAUUUGUGUUCAACCUUAUUUCUAAUUAAGAAAGAUACUAAAACAGUAAUAUAAUUCUUAAGAAAUAGGUUGAUUUCAUUCAUUUAUAAAUUUAUCUACCGUAAUACCAUAUAUAAUAUAAGACUUUACUUUCACUAUUAAAAUUAUAAAAAUGGUUAAAAAGAAGUCAGAUAAAGCAAAUGAUUCAAAUUUAAAAAGCAAUUAAAUCACAUCAAGAUUUAGAAGUAUUAACUAAUUCUUUUCUAAAAUAUUCCAUGAGAGUGAUGUAUGGUAUUUUAAGUAAUUUUAAAUUAUAUAAUAAAAGAAAAUAGGAAGAAGAGAAUCAAUGACUUGAAAGUUUUUUUACGAAGUCUUGGUAAACCAUGGAACAGGAUCGAUGGUACAACGUGGUCCAGGGGUUAACACAGAAAAACGAUGCCAUUUCCCAUUAGCAUACUUUUCCUGCUAUCCCAAAAUUUUCAAUACCUGUCUAUAGGAAAUUUCUGCUUCAAUUUCCUCUUGACUGACUUAAACAACUUUUCAGCCAACGUACCAGAGCCACCCAACCCAUUGCCAUAACCCAGUCAGGAGUCAUGUACUAUCUAACCCCUCUUCCAUUAGGCCAUUACCACACUACCCUCUUUCCUUGCAGCAUUCCACACCCAGAACAACCACCACCAUCAUCCCCUUCUAAUUCCUCCACCAAUGCACCCCCUCAGCACCGCUGCUGCCACCUCCUUCCUUUCCACCCUCUUAUUGUUCCUCCACUUAACGGCAUCAUCUCCUUCGAAUUACAUGAUUGAUCUUCCAAACUGCAACCAAAACUUCUCUUGUGGUGACCUCACAAACAUCAAUUACCCUUUCCCCAGUGGCCAACUUCCACCCGACUGCGGCCCACAGGAGUUCAAUUUCACAUGUCAUGGUGACAAAGUGACCACCCUCAUAGUUAAAUCACUGCCUUACCGAAUCAAUCGGGUUGACCACACCAGCCAUACCUUAAGGCUCUCACGUUCAGACUUCUACGAUGACUUUCCAUGCCCCCACCUAUCCAGUAACACCACUUUUGAUAACGUUACCUUCAGCCUUGCCUCCGACCAUGAAACCCUUACUUUCUUUUAUGGGUGCACGGACUUAGGUGGCUCUGUCAAGGAAAACUCUAAGUUCUCAUGUCCCAUGCCAGGAUAUUUAGAAGAAGGGUUUUUCAAGGUUGGUGAUCAUCCUUAUGUGGAUCGGUGUCCGACUAGUUUUCAAGUGCCAUUUCUCCGGAGGUGGAAACAACAACUUGAGGCUGAAGGGUCAUCAUUACUUGGUAAGGUUUUGAAAGAAGGGUUUGAUGUACGUUAUAGUGAUCCUUACAGUGCUGAUUGUCAGAAGUGUUCCAAGCAUUCUGGUAGGCAAUGUGGGUUUGAUGGUAUUUGCAUCUGUAAUGAUCAGCUCUGUCCUGGUAAGUUAAAAUCGACAUUAAUUUUGACUAGCCAAAAUCUUCUAGUUUCCUUACGAGUUUGAUAGCUUUCAAGACAAGCUAGGCCUUCUUGUGGUAAUUGAUAUGGAGGGUUUUUUUUAUCAAAUUAUACAAAGCUUCAAUGAUUUCAAGAAUUAAUGCUUGAAUUGCUUGCAAGGCUCACAAGUCCAGUAGCUUCAUUUACUGGUAGUGAAUAAUAAAUUAUAGCAUUCAUUCAAUGUUCAUUGUUAAGAGGUUCAAUGUUCAAAAUUAUGCUUCUUUGCUUGAGUCUGUGUUCGGUUCUAUGGGGUUAUCAUUUGAACUCAACAAUAUGAUCCAUUUCUUCUUCAUCAGAUGUUCUAUGGGGUUAUCAUGAACUUGGUCUUGGUCUUGGUCUUGCUAUUGUGAAAUUAUACUUUAGGCAUCAGCUUUUUACUGUUUAAAAAUUUACAGUGAAAUGCUGAUUUUAUCUCUUAAUCACAAAGUAACAUGUCUUGGAUUUAGAGGUAUAAAGAUAUUUUCCAAACAGCCCCUAGAAAAAAAGCUUUUCCAUGUUGGAAAAGGUUUAGAAUGGUAUUGUCGCAAAGUCACCUGUUUCAUAUUGGUUAAGGAAAAGAUUUAUUUCGUUAGAUUACAAGUGGAAAUCAAAUAUUAUCAUUACUGUUGAUUUACAAAUUAAUGAAUUUGAGAGAAUACUAAGACAAAAAAUUAGAUAUGAAAAUAUAUAGUUAUGAAAAGAUAAGGAGAUCGAGGAGAGUACUAAUUUUUCAGCUUCAGUCUUUCGGUAUUAACUUGGAGAAAGUACAAGUACACUGCUAUUUUUCCCCCCUCAUGCAUGGAUGUAGAUCUUGACAUGGAAGUCACGGUGAUUUCUAAAUUAUACUAUGGAGAUAUUGUAAAAAAUUACGAUGUUCCUGCUUCUAACACUCCAAGACCAUAGAAGAGUGCAAGUGUCGUCGAACAUCUUUAUCAAAAGAAGAUGAUUUGAGUGUAGUUUUCAGUGUCUCUACUACCACAUCAGAACUUCUUUCUGUUAUAAAAAAUUAAAAAAAAUCGAGGCAAAAGACACUAAAAAUUUAUUACUAUUUUUUUAAUGAUUGACAAAGUCAACGCUAUACACUGUAAAAUUUCAUUUAGGGUAAUUUCAUUUUUUUAUUAUAGUUGCUGAUCACCCACGAAAGUUGUAAAAUUUUCUUAUAUCAGAAACUUACUUGAUGUUCAUGUUACAGGAACAGGAUCUUCAAGGUUUGGUAAGGGUCUUAAGAUUGUUACAGGUGAAUAUAAGAAUAAGAAUCCAAUAUUUUCAUUUGAUGACGAUGACGUCGAUAAUAAUGAUGAUGAUUAUUUUCUUUUACAGCCAUAUCAGCAGCUACAGCAGCGAUAAUUGCUUUUGCUAUAAUUGCAAUUUGUUUCCGUGGAAGAGAAGGCUCAUUUAGUGGCAAUAUAGCAAUGACCUUCAAGCUGAAGAGUUCACAGAAUGUUGACAGGUUUGAAACAUUUAUGAUGGACUAUCAUUGUCUCGCCCCAAGGCGUUAUUCAUAUUCAGACAUUAAGAAAAUCACCAACUCAUUCACCAAUAAACUAGGUGAGGGGGGAUUUGGUAAUGUAUACAAAGGAAAGUUAACGGACGGUCGACUUGUGGCCGUAAAAGUCCUGAAAGAAUCCAAAGGUGAUGGAGAAGAGUUCAUGAAUGAAGUUGCGAGCAUCAGCAGAACUUCCCACGUGAAUAUAGUUACACUUUUGGGUUUCUGCUAUGAAAAGACUAAAAGAGCUUUGAUCUACGAAUUCAUGACCAAGGGUUCUUUAGACAAGUUCAUAUCUUUUGAAGGAACCCCAUAUACAAAUUUUGGUUUACAAUGGGAAAGGUUUUAUGAAAUUGCAGUUGGUAUUGCUAGAGGUCUCGAGUACUUACAUAGAGGUUGUAACACUCGAAUUGUGCAUUUUGACAUAAAGCCUCACAACAUUCUUCUCGAUGAAGAUUUUUGCCCAAAGAUCUCUGAUUUUGGUCUGGCAAAGCUAUGCAAGAGUAAAGAGAGUAAGGUUUCAAUGACAGGCGCAAGAGGGACUGUCGGUUACAUAGCACCUGAAGUGUUCUGCAGGAAUUUUGGAGGAGUAUCUUACAAGUCUGAUGUGUAUAGCUAUGGAAUGAUGGUUCUAGAAAUGGUCGGAGAAAGAAAAAAAAAUUAUACUGGAUCUUCGGAAACCAGUGAAAUGUAUUUCCCUGAUUGGUUUUACAAGUAUCUUGAACCGGGAGAGAUUACAUUACUUCAUGAGGGUAUAUCAGAAGAGGAAGAAGAGAUUAUAAAAAAAAUGAUUUUAAUAGGUUUGUGGUGCAUCCAAACAAUUCCAUCAGAUAGACCAUCAAUGACAAAGUGGUAGAGAUGUUUGAAGGUAGUCUUCACUCUUUGCAAAUUCCACUAAAACCUUUACUUUCUUCACCUAAAAGGUCUGCUCCAGAUCACUCUUCCAUUAUACCAUCAAUGCCAAGUGUGUCGUCACAGGGGGUGGAGUGAACAAAUUGUUAGUUGAUGAAAGUGACUUGGAACUAGAGAUUUCAACACUUUGGAACUAAAGAUAUAAAAAACCUUAUUUCAUGUCCUUCAUCUAAGAGCUGCUUUCAGGCUGAAUGGUUCCUUGACCGGUGGAUACUCGUACAGGAUUGGUAAGAGACAUUGUCGUCUCUCUCCAUCUAUUUUUUUCACCACUGAUGCAUACAAAUUAUAAUAUGUACUUCAUGUUCAAUCUACUGAAAGUGUAGAACGUUAUGUUCGUGCUUGCCUCUUAUUGUUUAUGAUUUCAAGAGUUAGACAAUAAGUGAGGUUCAACUUUAUCAUGCCUAUGGUUAAUGUCAUCUGUCCUGCAUUGCAACUUUCUUGGUGGACUUUCAUAUUUUUCUUACUCUGUUUAUUUGAGAAAUAUAUUUCCCGGCUUGGUUUUAUAAGCAUCUUGAACCAAGAGAGCUAACAAGACCUCAAGAGAGUAUGAUAGAAGAUGAAGAAGAGACUGUAAAGAAGUCCACUAUGGGACGAGGAAAAGAUGAGAAGAUGAUCUUUGUGGGUUUGUGGCGCAUUCAAACAAAUCCUUCAGAUAGAGCAUCAACGACAGGAUAUGUGGUAAUGUAUGUUAAUUGCAAGCACGCAGCACUGAUAGGAAACACCAUCCUCUCUGCCUCUAGUUUUUGUCAAUGGUAAUAUGUGUUAAUUAUGAUUUGUACUUGAUGCUCAGAACUGUAGAAUUAAUCUAUCAUCCGUCACUAUUAAACAAGUUUAAAAUUUAGAUGAAAAAAUUGCAGGUUAAGGUAUAUCAUCACUUGUGGUUAAUUGAUAUCUUAGGGAGAUGAUGAUUCCUUGUGUCAAUUUCAUACGCAUCUUCGCUACCUAUCUACUCUGUAUUUUGCUAGGGUAAGGGUCUUAUUGGAUCACUACUGAGCUCCCAUAGUCUCCUUCAUGUGCUGUAAAGCUCUUCCUGUUAUUUUGGUAAGGUCCAGGAGUGCUUCUUUCUUUCAUGCUGAAGGCAUUUUGACCAUUUUAAAUAUGGCAGAAUAUGAAAUUGCUUACUCAGCAGAGCUUGACUAUGAGUUUAUUUGAAAUGCUUUCAGCAUUCCAUAUCACCAAUCAACAUAACUCAUGUUCAUAUGUAGAAAUCUUAGGAGCACCCUCUUCUUAAAGCUUGUCGUACCCUCUUGAGAGCUUGACGUCGAGGCGACCCUUCCUGGUAGCAGGGAUUGAUGUUGGGGUCUUUAUUUUGUAGAAAAGGAGUCGCCACCUAGUAUUAUGGUUACUAGAAAACCUAACUGGUCUUUCAGAGAUUCUAAGGCAAGGGACUGGUUGCGUAAAGGAAAGGUUUUAGCACCCCUAGUACGCCCAACCUAAGAUAGGCUGCUUGGUAUUUAGUUUGCCUAUAAUUUCUAUAUUGUUGGUACUCUCAUUAGUUUCCUAGGAUACAUUUGUUAUGAUGUAUGAACUUGGGUUCAAAGUCUAAGGGAAAGAACUCUUGGCCAAUAUGGAUCAUACCUUUAGGUAUGCCUAUAGACUGCCAAAGAGAAAUGGUGCUCAUAAAGUCUAUGCUUGAUUUGAGAUAAAUUCGAGAUUUAUGAAUUUAGAGGCAACUAAGAUAAAAAUCUAAGGAGAUUUAAUGUGCUUAAGAGCUUAUUUUUGCCUUAGUAUUUCAAGUGUUCGCGACUCGUAAAUCGCAAGAGAAAAAAAGAAAAAAAGUUUAGAAAUCUAAGGAAAUUCAAGGUGCUUUAAAAGCUCAUUUUUGCCUUAGUAUUUCAAAUUUUUAUGACUCUUAAAUUGUGGAAUCAAAAUUUGAAAUUUCCCCAAUUAUAAUCGAGGCUUCUUUCAGGGAUAAGCAAUUAAAUUGUUCUAAACAAAAUUUUAGGCAUAAAUCUACCCUUCCGUUAAAAAUAAACAAGUUGUAUUCCUAUUAACAAUAUUUUGGACAUUUAUCUUUCAUAGGUUUAUUUGCCUUUGUGUUAUUAAGGGAUAAUGACUUUGUUGUUCUUGAAAAUAUUUUGAUAUUUACAACUUGGGGUUUCAUUAUCUAAAAUAUUAAUAGUGAACAAUGACAAAUUAUUCCCAAUAAUAUUUUGAAUAUUAACCGCUUUUGGGGUUUCUUUAUCCAAAUAUUUGUGUUGAAUAAUAACGAAUUAUUCUUAAUAAUUUUUUGGAUAUUAACUCCUUUGUGGUUUCUUUAUCCAAAUAUUAAUAAUGAAUAAUAACAAAUUAUUCCUAAUAAUAUUUUGGAUAUUUACCCAUUUUGAAAUUUUUUUAUCCAAAUAUUAAUAUUGAAUAAAAACGAAUUACUAAAAAUAAGAUUUUUGGCCAACACCCUUUGGAAUUUACGAACAUGUUGUAAAAUCCAAGAUACAAGUAAAAUCUUUAUGCAAGGAAAUAUUUUUUAUAUUUUUUUUAUUAAAAGCACUAUUUAUCACAAACAUUAAAUGCAAACGUCACAGCUGAAGCUAGCAAAAAUCACAAGAACGAAUUCGUCAUAUGGGGGGACCAAAGUCCUGAUUGAACUCAAAACAACUGUUAAUUGCAACAAUUAAACACAGGCAUCAUAGCUAAAGUUAUUAAUCCGGCACCAAAAUAAACUUGUCACGUGGGGGGUCGAAAUUCUGAAAGCAAUAUUUUAAACCCAAAAUCAUAGGCAGUAUGACUCAUGACCUGUCUUCUUUUACCAAUAUAGGAACACUGCCAUCUAAUUUCAUGCGAGAAAAACUGUCAUACCAGUUUCAAUGCAAAAGGAACGAACUUUGAAGAGCAUGAUUUCAUACCACCUACAUCACGGACUAAAUCCCAAAACAACGUAGACAGUUAUUUCAUUUCACCGAGCAAGACAGCAAACAUGAGCCUUUGAACUUGGUCAAAAGAUUACUUCCAACGCAAACGCCAGAAGGGCCUCCCUCCUGUUUCAUUUUCUCCUCUGGACAAACAAAUUUUAGGAGCAAAACACAUCCCUAACAGAAAUUCUAAAACAGAGAAACCCGAGAACAAGGAGAGGAAGGAUAGUGAGGACCUUAAGGCUCCCGAUUCCUCAACAACAAAAGGGAAAGAAAGGAACCAACUCUUAAUCUAAACACCUAUUUGCUCACAACUUAUGGGAGAAAAUGCAGGCAAACGCGCCACUUUGUGACCCAAAAAAAAAAAAGAACUCUAAUGUCUAAAAUAAAAACAUAAAUCAGCAACUCUGAACAUAAGCCUUUUUUACUCACAGCCACGGCAGAAGAGGUAGGCCAGCGGCACAACCAUGUGGCCAAAACAGAACUCUAAUGUCUAAAAUAAAAACGGGAACCAGCAACUCUUCAUAAGCUUUUGUUUACUCACAGCCAUGGCAGCAAAGGUAGGCCAGCGGCACAACCAUGUGGCCAAAACAGAACUCUAAUGUCUAAAACAAACGGCAGGAACAAGUUUUUUUUUAUUAAAAAAGGAACAACAGACAUCAAACUACACAUAUGAAAAAGGAAUAAAAGAAAGGGCAGCGACUCAUACCUGCUGAUAUAGCUUGCAGACGAUGAAGUGUAGAAGGAUGAAACAGCCUUUUCUUUGCUGACACUGAAGACCAAAGAAAGCCUCCCCUUGCUGUCGUUAGGCUUCUUUAAAACCCUUUUAGAGUUUUGUGAAAUCCUUUUCGGCAAGGUAGGAUGAGCUGAAAGUGAUCUUCCCUCGUCCUUAAACUGAUUUUCUGCUUCUCCGCUGAACCUUAUGUUAGCUCUCGGUUUUCUAACUCUUCUCUCCCCUUUUUCUUUUUUCUCUUACAACGCAGUCUAUUAUAUGUGCAAGAACUGAAGACCACCCUCACAUUCUCUCAUCUCCACCGUAUGUCUUAGGGAAACAAUCCCAGCCCUUAGAUGAUGAUGAGGCUCCUCUUUGCGUCUCCUUUCACAGCUGGCACAGUGAGGUGCAACGGUUUCCCUUGUGAAAUCCAGAUUGCAGCUAAGGACAUGGCGUGAAGAGGGGUGUUGUCCUGCACACACCAGGUUGCAGGGGUUGCAAGGACGAGAGAUUUCAAAAACUAGCAGGAAAUGGUUGCAGAGGAGGGAAUGGAAUGCAGACGGGGUGGGAUACAGUACCAUGCUAAUUAUAUUUUUAAGAUGAGGUUGUUCUCAUAAGACACCGUCUAGCUAAAGAAGUGAAUUAGUGUAAAAAAGACAGACGGUGUCGUUUAGAAAGGCAGCAGGAAUGUAACCCAUCGUGGCAUAAUUUCUGUCAUUUUCUAAUCCUAUCCCUGUUUUUUCUAUUUCUUCCCAAAACCCAGCUGAGCUUCUUCCAAUCUUUAUCAGCAAUUAACUCCCUUAUUUCAGUUUUUUUUUUUCAAUUCAGUCCUGCAAACUUGGGGGGCAAAAUCCUUCUUGUGGCAGAAUUUUGCGGCAGAAUUUUUCGGGAGAAUUUUGCGGCAGAAAAGUCUUGCGGAAAAAAAGUUUUGCGGCAGAAUUUUCACUUCCUUAUUAGGUAUUCAGACGUGAAUAUCUUGAGCUUCUGAUAUUAAAAUCGAGCGAUUCAAACACUCAAAUUCAUCUACGCUUAUAGGAAUACACUUUCAUGAAGGAUUAAGAAUGAGAAAAAUUCAUUUUGAAGUACAGAAAUUGGCUGCAACUUGGUUGGUAAAAAAGGAUCUCCUAAUCUAAAUCAAGAAACUGACGAUGCCAAGCAUCCUACUUUGACUGAGAGUCUUCCAUAAAAAUAGCAAGCCUUAGGACCCAAUAAAAGUGUAGGUCAAUUUUUCAACAUGUCAUGAGUGACAAAAUAUAGCCGGGAUGGUUGAAUAUUACAUGGAACCAGAUCAGAAUCAAAACCUAAGCUGGAACAAAAAUUGCGACAACGGCAGAGCCAGUUUUUUAGUGCAGCUUCUGAGGGAUUUAUCUAACCUUAGAAACCAGACAACAAAGGGAUAAAUUUAGCAUUUUAAAGACUCCUAAUUAGCCUAAGAAUCCUGACAAUUUCGACAGCAAAGGGGAAGGAUCAGGAGAGCAGAUGCCAGCUGAAACAUGGUCCGAAAAAAAUUUCAUUCUCCUUUGUUUUUGUCAAUCUCCCAACAACCCUGAACUAAAUUCCUAAUUAGCCUAAACUCCUGAACUAUACACCAUCUCUAUUAACACGUAUGGCUAAAAAAUGAGUAACAAUAGAUGCCCCCUCUUUACGAAACUUGCGAAGCUAAAACUUGAGUAGCAAGUUUUGUAAAGAUAAAAAAUGAUUAUUAAAGCUUCAAAACUUGAUGCCUUUUUAAGGACGGUCUCAUUAUCCAGUGAUCUACUUGUUUUAGAACCCUCCACAUUUUUCUAUGGAACGUCGCAAUAUCAAGUGACCUACCUAUUUUGCUAUUCAAAAUAAUUUUAAAAGUGGUGUCAAUGCCGAGUGACCUGUCCGUUUAGAAAACUCCAUGCUUUUCUAAAUAUGGUCUUAACAUCGAGUGACCUGCCCGUUUUGCAAUUUAUUAGCUUUUUUAGAAAAACUCUCACGCUUUUCUAAAAUGGUCUCAAUGUCGGGUGCCCUGCCCGUUUUAAGAUUUUUUUAGAAAACUCCAUGUUUUUCUAAGAAAUGGUUUCAAUGUCGAGUGACCUGCUCGUUUUAAUUCUUUUUGUUUUUUUAGAAAAACUCCACGCUUUUUCUAAAAAAUGGUCUCAAUGUCGAGUGACCUGCUCGUUUUAAGAUUUUUAGAAAAACUCCACGCUUUUUUCUAAAAAUGGUCUCAAUAUCGAGUGACCUGCCCGUUUUAAGAUUUUUAGAAAAACUCCAUGCUUUUUCUAAAAAAUGGUCUCGUUGUUAUGGGUGACCUACCCUGAUAAAAAGAAAAGUGGUCUCAUUGUUAGGGUGACCUACCCAGAUGGAAAGUGGAAAGUGGUCUCAUUGUUACGAGUGACCCACUCAAGAAAAUGCAAAGAUUGUUUUCAAAAGAAAUGGUCUCAUUGUUAUGGGUGACCUACCCAGAUGAACAGAAAAGUGGUCUCAUUGUUAUGGGUGACCUACCCAAGAAAAUGCAAAUAUUUUUUCAAACAACUGGUCUCAUUGUUAUGGGUGACCUGCCCCUUUUGGAAUAUAAAAUUUUUUUACCCUAAGGAAUGAAGCAAUGUUGAUUCACAAUUCUUAUUCUUCUUCAUAGUUCUGUUGACUUGAUAUCUCCAUCCUUUCUAGUUCAGCUGUCUUGAGAUCCUGUAUCUCAGUGGUUCUCUGCAACUCGAAACUAUUCUGGCUUUCUUCGCACCUUUCCUAUCAGGUUAGUGUGAUGGCCACACAACAUGUAUGUUUUUGUUACCUAUCUUGGAAAUACAGGUCCCUCUUUCCAUUGUGGCCUUCUUUGAGCUCUUAUUUCCAUUUGUUUGCCCGACCUAUCCUCUUGAACUAGAUUUUGAUCCACGUGCUACAUUUCUUAUCCUUUUAUGCUUAGGGAAGAUAUUUCUAGUUUCUUAUAGGGCUUUUCCUUGCUCCAUUGAAUAUUGUCCUUAAUUAUUUUAAGAAUACUCAAAAGAUCUGGUUUCGUUCAUGAAAACUAACACUUUCAAUGUAUGUAUCAUAUUUUGUCUCAAGCAAUUCCUAUAAAGGUGUUUCAAAGGUUUUUAUGAUGAUACCUGUCAUAACCCAAUUUUGGGUUAUUCCCCAAAUUUCACUUUUUUUCAAAAUAAAAAAUCAAAAAAUUAAAUAAAAUAAAGGCUGGCAAUGUGGAGAAAGCUGAUAAAAAAAAAACAGCAAAAAUAGGAAAAAAUCGAAGGUCAAAUUAAAUGCAAAUUCGAAGGUCAAAUUAAAUGAUUAUUGAAUGAAUUUGCAUAAAAAUUAAAUCCAAUGACACAAUUAAAUUUUUAAUGGGCCAAUUUGAUUUAAUCAUGGGCCAAAUUAAAUUUUAAUUAUGUUUAAGAAUUAAUUUAGCUCCAAUUGAAGGAUUUAAUUAAGUGCAAGGACUUAAUUAUACUUUAAAUGGGUCAAAUUAAUUUAGGGGCUUAAUUGGUGAAAAAUUAAGUUUGGGAGCCUAAUUUGGACUUAAUUCAAAAGAUUGAAAUUUUAAGAGACCAAAUUUAAUUUUUACCAAGUGAAUUGAUUCAAACAAUUGAGGGACCAAUUUUGAGGCCCGAAAAAUACUUUGCCUAUAAAUAGCAGCCUACAAAAAUCAGUAAAGGGGGGUCAUUUUGUAGGGGGGUAAUUUCGGCACUUUCAAAAGAAAAAAAUACAGAAACCCUAACCCUAAAAACCUCUUUCUUUCACGCCAGCCGCCCCCCGUUGGUUUUCAUUUUUUGGCUCCCUGAACCGCUCCUCGAUUGGAUUUUUCUUCUCCUUCACCCAGAGCCACAGACAGCCGGCUCCUCCCUUUUGAUUCUCUUCUCCCUCAAACAGCUUCCCUCAUAACCAGGAGAACCCCAAACAUCAGGCAGCCACCCCCUUUGCCCUUUGAUAAAAACACAGCAGCCACCGUCCUCUUCAGCUUUUGGCUUUUCUUCCCCGAAACCAUUCUCCCUCUGGACUCAGCGACCACUCUCCACCAACAGACCUCAUCUUCAGCAACUAGAUCUGCCCUCCAGCGGCACCUCCCACAGAUCCAACGCCAUUUCCAACCAAAACCAACGAUCAGCCAACACUCUUUCCUCCUCCAGCUCUGCCGGCCGGACAUGAUAGAAGCACAAUGGCCAGCAGUUUCUCAGUCACCGGCAGCUACUUAGAAUAAAGCAUGGGAGACCAAAAGAAGAAAGACAGAAACAAAGAGAGAAAGCAGAAAUAAAAACAGAUUUGAAAAAGAGGAAGAACCGAAACUUUGCUUGCGUUUUUUCUUCUAUUUGUAGGUGAUUGUGGUUGUCACCGCCGGCAAGGAAAGGAAGAAGGAGGGAAGCCACUCCAAAUCCACCCCGUCUCUUGUUUCUGCUUACGGCGGCACGUGAACCCACGAGCCUCCAGUGAUGGUGGCGCGUGGGAAGACGCGCCGCCACGAGUUCAGACAGUCCAGAAGUGUCCUUCAAUUCAAUUUCUGGAGUUUUAGGGACUGUUUUGUUAAUUUUAAAUUAUUUAAUGUAAUUUUUAUUUAGUUUUUGAAUUUGUAUUUUGUGUAAAUGUGAAUGUAAAAGAAAAGAAGAAGAAAAGAAAAGAAAAUAAUAAUAAAAAAGAGCGUGUGUGUGUGUUGGUGUUCUUUUUUUUAUUUAUGUUAUUGAAUUAUAAAAAUAAAAAAAGGACAAAAAGAAGUAAGUGUUUAAUUUUACAUGCACAAAUAUCUAAGGAUAGAUAAAGUCAUGUUGUGUUUUUCAUGAAAAUGUAAGAACAUGUUUUUACAUAUAUUUUGGGAAUUAAUAACUAAUUUAUUAAAGCCUUAGAAUUGGCUAAAAAUUUUAUUUUAAAAAUUACAUCAAGCUUGAAUGUGGUUUUGUGAAUUUUUUUUAUGAUAAAAUCGCAGGAAUAAAGGAUUUGAUAUUUUGAUUGGAUCACGGUGUAGAAGUACAAACUUGUAUGGAAGUUGUAUUUCUAAAAUCCGAUGAAAAGACAAAAUUUUUAAAACUUCUUUAACACAUCAAGUCCACGAAGCAGCUUACCUCAGGUAGGGUGCGUUAGGGGUGCUAAUACCUUCCCUAACCACAAUCAGUCCCUUACCCGCGAAUCUCUGACCAAGACCAGUCCAUCAGGGUUUCCUAGUGACCCUCAAUUAAAUACUAGGUGGCGACUCCUAACGAACCAAUUCAAGCAAUGCAACAAACAGAAAAAUCGCCAGCCGAUUGCCGCGCGGGAUUUUUCGACGUGCGACAGAAUGGCGACUCCACUGGGGAGGUAUUGUUUCUGACAAUAUUGGACUAAGCUUUGUGUAUUUGAUGUCUUUAAAUUUUGCCAUUUUUGUCUUGUUUUAUUUUAUCCAUGCAUUUAUAGAAUUGUUUCAUGCAUCACUUGUAUUUAUUUUUGAAAGCACACACAAGCUUCUAAGUUAGGUGGGGAGUAGCAGUCUACCUCAUGACUUUCAGUCGGGGUUCAGAUUUGUGAAACAUCCAACUAUGAGCUGAGUGUUUACUCGGUAAUGGCGGUCACAUGGUGCCCCAACCAUUCCUUGUAAACCCCUAUACUGCCUUCACGUGAGGUCGGUCACUGGGCAGUUCAUAGACCCUUUUGAGACCAGGUAGAAAACCUACCCAUGUUCACACAAUGAAUAGAACUGUCCUUAGGUUGUAUGUGCUAUCAUUUAUUUGCAUCAGGGGAACCCUUCUUGAAGCAUCUUGAACUCAAGAUUUUGGGUGACACAAUGGUCGUCACUCGAAAAUUUUCAUUGUAGAGUUUGGGCAAAAAUCACAUUCUUGUUCCAUAUACAAGAGUUACGACCAUGUUGUCACCCCUCGAAGGGCGAGUUCAUCAUAUAGACUUCAUGUUCAUACAUUUGUCAUGCAUGCACCAGAAUGAAAAAUAGGUCCCCUCCGAGUCUACAACACCUGAUUUUGAGAGAAAAACAUUGGAGACAAAGAGUAUGCUCGCUGCAGCAUCCAUUUCCAAGAAGAGUUAGAGUCUCUGAAAGCAAGCGUGGCUCGCCUCAUUAGCUUACUCGAGCAAACACUUAGAAAUGCCUCUGGUGAAGGUCCUUCCAAUCAGCCAGCUAUUUGUGUUCAGCCCCAACAAAGCCCGAAGAAAUUGGGGGCCAACAUGAUCAAGAGCCUCAACACAAUCUGAAGGGGAAUUGCAUCACCGUUACAGAAUGGAGCCUGUUCUUGUUCUGCCAAAAAUAACUACCUCUGUUCGAUCAUGCCUCCAAAAACUUGAUUUUUUGUUUCAACCUAUUCCAGUUUUUGUUGGUAAUUUGGCUCAAAAUUCCACAAGACUUUCCCUGUCCAUGAGCCUUUCUUGUUAUAAGAUCAUGUGUUUUCUGUGUUCAUCACAUGCUUCAUUUUUGUUGUUGUUUCAUGCAAAUAACACAUUGAGCAUAACCUUUAAGCAUGAAACCAUCGCGCCCAAAAUCUUGUGGUGUGUUUCCCCUUCUCUUCCCAAAACAAAGCAUGAUCAUACAUGUUCACAUGAGGAUUUUUGGGAAUUCAAAGUUUAGUACAAAAACAGAAAUCAUGUUGAUGUUUGUCCGAAACAAACGAGUUCUGGAAAUUCAGGUGAUUCCUUAGAGAGGUAACCAUACACCUAGAAAAAAAAACACCAUGAAGUGACUCUAAAGCUGAGUUUUGAUUGCAUGAAUAAUGAGAAAUCACUUUGCAUACUCGCAUGAAAGCAAGGCUUACCGAUCCUAAAUGCAUGCAUUUGAGAUGAAGAAAGGCCAUCUUUGAUAAUCCUUUCACAAGGCUGAAAUAUAUCAUUUGCAGUCCCCUUUUGAGCCUAAUAAAUUUUUCUUGAAAAAUAACCUUGGCUAGGAUCACACCCUACACUGGGGGGCAAGUGCAAAAAAAUCCAUAAUGAUUGAAAGUGCCCAAAUAACUCUUGGGGGCAUGAAAAAGUCUUCAACAAUGAAAGUGCCCAAACAAUACUGGGGGGCAUAAAAGAAAAUUCUCAAUCAUCAAAGGUGCCCAUACAAAGCUAGGGGGCAUGAAGAAAAAUCCAAAGGAUCCAAAAUUCUGAGCAUAAAAAAAAAAAAGCUAAUGCAAUGAUGCUCAAAAUCAAAUGAAGAAAACAAAAACAAAGAGAAAGAGCCCAAGCCCAACACUGGGGGCACCGUGGACCAUUUUACAAAUCAAUUCCAAGGUCCAGAAAUGUAUGAACAAAAGAGUUUGGGAUAUAAGCACUAGUGAUCCUUAGUCUUAAAGUCCCUUAAACACCUUUUGAGCCUACAUAUAUCAUUUUCUUCAUAGCCAAAAGCCCAAGCCUACAUUACGUGCCUAAUGAAGCCCUUUCUGAUCAAAGGCAAGCAAUCUGGAUCGGUAGGCAGUGCUUUCUCAUGCGAAAAAAAUCAUUAUUCAUGCAAAUAAAAUGAAUGCUUUGAAAACGGUUCUCAAUAACCCUCAAAUUGAAAUUUAAACCUUUUGUGACCAACAGAUGUCACUUCAUGUUCUUCACAUUUUCACCAACGGUUCUCAAUAACCCACAAAUUGAAAUUUAAACCUUUUGUGACCAACAGAUGUCACUUCAUUGUUUAAACCUUUCCAACCAAUGUCACUUAUUGAAAUUUAACUUUUGUGACCAACCAGAUGUCACUUCGUGUUUUUCACAUGUUCACCAAAAGCAAAACAAAAAGUUUUCAUCACUUUUGAUAACCUCUCAAUAGGAAUCACUUGAAUUUCUUCAGAAUGAGUUCGCUUUGAAUCGAUGUCAAAAUGAUUUCUGUGUCUGGAAUAGCUUUGAAAUUCCAAAAAUUCUACAUGAAAACAACUCCUUGUCAAACCUUCCUUCACAUAGCCUCAUCCCCAAACCCGAAUUGAAUACUUAGGGGCAUGAUCAAGCUAGGGGGCAAUCAAAAAUAUCUGGUAGAUCUGGCUCCAUGAUUCCCUUUCUAAGAUACUAUUGGGAAAAAUUAGCAACCCUUGAGAUAAAAGGGGCGGAGAACAAAGAGGUAUGAUGAUAUCAAGUCCUUCCAAGAGGCCAAGAUCAUAAGAUAUUUCUCGAGUAAGCAAGGGGGACUCAGCGACCACUCUCCACGAACAGACCUCAUCUUCAGCAACCAGAUCUGCCCUCCAGCGGCACCUCCCACAGAUCCAACGCCAUUUCCAACCAAAACUAAUGAUCAGCCAACACUCUUUCCUCCUCCGGCUCCGCCGGCCGGACAUGACAGAAGCACAAUCGCCAGCAGUUUUUCAGUCACCGGCAGCUACUUAGAACAAAGCAAAGGAGACCAAAAGAAGAAAGACAGAAACAAAGAGAAAAAGCAGAAAUAAAAACAGAUUUGAAAAAGAGGAAGAACCGAAACUUUGCUUGUGUUUUGUCUUCUAUUUGCAGGUGACGGUGGUUGUCACCGCCGGCGAGGAAAGGAAGAAGGAGGGAAGCCGCUCCAGAUCCACCUCGUCUCUUAUUUCUGCUUGCGGCAGCGCGUGAACCCACGCUCCGCCAGUGAUGGUGGCGCGUGGGAAGACGCACCGCCACGAGUUCAGACAGUCCGGAAGUGUCGUUCAAUGCAAUUUCUGGAGUUCUAGGGACUGUUUUGUUAAUUUUAAAUUAUUUAAUGUAAUUUUUAUUUAGUUUUUGAAUUUGUAUUUUGUGUAAAUGUGAAUGUAAAAGAAAAAAAGAAGAAAAGAAAAGAAAAGAAAAGAAAAUAAUAAUAAAAAAGAGUGUGUGUGUGUUGGUGUUCUUUUUUUUAUUUAUGUUAUUGAAUUAUAAAAAUAAAAAAAAGGACAAAAAGAAGUUAGUGUUUAAUUUUACAUGCAUAAUUUUACAUGCACAAAUAUCUAAGGAUAGAUAAAGUCAUGUUGUAUUUUUCAUGAAAAUGUAAGAACAUGUUUUUACAUAUAUUUUGGGAAUUAAUAACUGAUUUAUUAAAACCUUAGAAUUGGGCUAAAAAUUUUAUUUUAAACAUUACAUCAAGCUUGAAUGUGGUUUUAUGAAUUUUUUUAUGAUAAAAUCGCAGGAAUAAAGAAGGAUUUAAUAUUUUGAUUGGAUCAUGGUGUAGAAUUACAAACUUGUACGGAAGUUGUAUUUCUAAAAUCCGAUGAAAAGACAAAAUUUUUAAAGCUUCUUUAACACAUCAAGUCCACGAAGCAACUUACCUCAGGUAGGGUGCGUUAGGGGUGCUAAUACCUUCCCUAACCACAAUCAGUCCCUUACCCACGAAUCUCUGACAAGACCGGUACAUCCGGUUUUCUAGUAGCCCUCAAUAAAUUACUAGGUGGCGACUCCUAACGAAUCAAUUUAAGCAAUGCAACAAACAACGAGAAAAAUCGCCAGCCGAUUGCCGCGCCGGAUUUUCCGACGUGCGACAAUACCCCUUUGGAUUUUGGUUCACUAUAUACCCCUAUGUGCACGUUUUUCCCUUAGUGUGGCGUGCAAUACAUGUCAGGUUUCAAUUUGGUUUGGUUCCCUUCAAUUUUAGAAUUAACGGAGAGCAUAUUAUGAUUCCCUAGUCAUGCGUAAAAAAAACAGUUCUUUUAAGUAAAUGAUUUCAAAUGCUAUGAGAUCAUGCGCUUUAUGAAGAAAAUGUUCUUUAUAGAGAUAAUUCAUGGCCAAACUUUAUUUUAUUGAUUACAAAACACAUCAACCAUAGUAUUUUCUAGAGUCAGCAUUCACAUGUCUAACUUCUCCAUCCAUUCUAGAUAACAAUAAAGCUCCUCUUGAGAAAGCUUUCUUCACCAUGUAAGGGCCAUCAUAGUUUGGCGCCUAUUUACUCUGAUCUUCUCCUAGUAAAGACAAUAUUUUCUUCACUACGAGAUCUCCUUCUUGGAAUCCUUGAGGUCGAACCUUCUUGUCAUAUGAUUUGGCCAUCCUUCUUUGGUAGAGUUGAUGAUGACAGAUUACAACUAUCCUCUUCUCACUUAUCAGGUUCAGUUGUUCAUAUCUAACUUUUAUCCAUUCUACCUCUUCUAUCUUAGAGUUCUAUCAAUACUCUCAAUGAGGGGAUUUCCACUUCUAAAGGCAUCAUUAUCUAUAUUCCGUAUACCAACGUGUACGAGGUGGCUUCUAUUGAGGUUCAGACUGCAGUGUAGUACGCACGAAGGGCAAAUGACAACAUCUUAUGUCAAUCCUCGUAGGUGACUAUCAUUUUCUGAAUAAUCUUCUUGUCAUUUUUGUUAGCAUCUUCUACAACACCAUUCAUCUUUGGCCUAUAUGGCGAGGAAUUGAAAUGCUUGAUUUUCCAUUUAAAGCAGAGUUCUAUUAACAUCCUGCUAUCAAUAUGUGCUGGUUGUACCAUGUACCCAAAAUCUAUUCUAGUCGUAGAAGCUAGUGUGGCCAAAGUGUCAGCCAAUUGGUUUCCUUCCCUUUCUAGAUGGGUGAAUUCUAUUUCCUCAAAUUCCCCGUGUAGUUUAGACAAGUAUUCUUGGUAAGGCCUCAACUUCUCUUCCUUGGUUUGACAUUCUCCUUUUAACUUGGCAAAUGAUCAACAUUGAGUCUCCACACACAUCUAUCUUUCUAAUGUUUAGCUCCAACGCAGCCUCCAAAAUCGAGAAUGCAAGCUUCAUACUUAGUUGUGUUGUUAGUGCACCCAAACUACAACUUAACUAAAACUGGAUACUAUUUCUUAUCAGGAGGGAUUAACACUGCCCCCGCUCCAUUACCACAUACAUUCAUAACAUCAUCAAAGUACAUAAUCCACCAAUCUAAUUUCCCUUCCUUGAUUGAAAGCACAUCUUUAUUAGGAAAUCCAAGUUUAAUGACUCAUAAUCUUCCAUAGCAUGGUCAGCUAGGUGAUCGACGAUGACACUCCCUUUCAUGGCUUUCCUAUGUCGUACACCAGCCAGUAGAACUUGCCAUCUUGCAAUUCAGCUUGAUAGAUAGGGUCUUUCACAAAUGUACCUCAACGAGCCUAAUUUGGAAAUUAAUCACUUAGUAUGAUAUAACAUAUAUUGAUGUAAUAAAUGGCCCUUUCCUUCCUUCUGGUUUCAUCGUGUUGUCCAAGCACACAUCCCAUUGUUGUUUUAGUUACUGUUAAGUAUAAUAUCAACGAACUUUCUGGUAUAGGAGGAACAAGCAAGGGUGGAUUCAGCAGGUACUACUUGAUUUUAUCAAAAGCCUCUUCGUACUCUUCAUUCCAAUUUCCAGGAUUCUUUUUCCUUAACAAACGAAAGAUUGGAUCACAAGUCGUGGUUAAUCAGGAUAUAAAACUGGGCAAUGUAAUUUAAUCUUCCCAGGAACCCUCUUACUUCUUUCCCAGUCUUAGGAGUUAGCGUAGCUUAAAUAGCCUUUACUUUGGCAGGAUCCAAUUCUAUCCCUUUGUCACUCACCACAAAUCCCAACAACUUCCCCAAAUUUCACCCCGAAUGAACAGUUUGCUCGAUUAAGCCUCAACUUAUACUUCCUUAGUCUUUCAAAUAAUUCCUUCAAUAUUUGGACAUGAUUCUCUCCCUCUCUAGAUUUAGCAAUCAUGUCAUCCUCAUAUACUUCAAUCUCUUUGUGCAUCAGGUCAUGAAAUAGAGUCAUCAUGACCCUUUGAUAGGUGGCCCGAAUGGCAUAACCUUGUAACAAGGUCCUUUAUGAUGUUACAAAUAUUGUCUUUUCCAUAUCCUCUUUCAUCAUUUUUAUUUGAUUGUAGUCCGAAAAUCCAUCAAUAUAUGGAGCUACGUGUUGUAUUGUCAACCAGCAUAUCUAGGUGUGGUAGAGGAAAAUUGUCUUUAGGGCUAGUCUGGUUUAAGUCCCUAAAGUCCACACAAACUCUGAUUUUACCUUUCUUUCUGGGUACGACCACUAUGUUGGACAAUUAUUGUGGAUGCUUAACUACUUAUAAAAAACCAGCAUUCCAUGUGUAACGGCCCGACCCAACUUGCCAUAUAUUGUCCGCUUUGGGCCUUACCGCCCUCAUGGUUUUAUUCCUGGUGACGCGAGCCCAUUUCUGAGCCUGACGCCCCAAAACGCGUAUAACAAGUUGGCAACCAACACCACUUAUAAGGCCAAAACAUGUUGAUUGAAUACAAAGCUAACUUGUUGGUUAUGUGGAUAUAAAUGGGGUGGAACCAUGAAGAAAUUAAAAUGAAAGAAAUAUGGAAAAUAAAACAUAUUUAAAGCUAGCCAUAAGUAUUUUUGGCAAAUUGAUUAGUUAAUGAAGAUUGUCAUGGAUUCCAACUAGUAGGGUGAAAUUGUUGUUAUGAUAAUGAUCUAAUAAUAUUAAUUGUUAAGGUUUGCCGCAUAUGUUUAAUCGCACGAGGAGAGAGCGAAAGAAAAUGAAUAGUUCAUCAUUUUGUUGUAUUAAUAAUAAUAUUAGGAGAAAUCCCAAAAGGAAUGAGUUUCCUUAUUUUUGGUCUGAUCUUUGCUAUAUUGUAAAGGUAGGGAAAUUGUUUGAAUGUUUUGCUUUAGAAUUGGUUUGAAUUUGUGAUUUAAUGAUGCCAAAUGACCUUGGAUGAUGUUUUUUUUGCAAUAAAAAUAAGUUGGAAGUUGAAAAGGACUCCCAAGAAAUGAAAAUCCUCGUUGCUCAAAAUUUUAGCUAUAAAGGAGGGGCUAUUAUGAUUGUUGAUUUUGAGCUUUAAAACAAAAUAAUUUGGAGUUGGUUUCUUCAUAAAAGUUGUAUUUCCAUGUUUUAGCCUUUCAUAGAGAUACAUCAUGCCCAAAACUGAGUUUUUUACAGCUUUAGUUAGGAUUAAGACACUAGAUAGUGUUAUGGGUUGGUUAAGCUAAAUUGAUUGGAAUCAGACAAUUUUUAAUCUUUGCUUGGAAUUUGCUGUUGAGUGAUGGUUUUGAUAACAAAAUAAUAAGAAUGAAUAUAAACAUGAAAAUGAGUAAGAGUAUUAUAUCUUAAAGAAAAUUCCUUGUGAUUGGUUUGAGAAUAUUAGUUGAAUGAGAAUUAAAUGAAGAUGUGAUGUUUACCACGCUUCCGCUGCGCCACUCUGAUACCAAAUGUAACGGCCCGACCCAACUUGCCAUAUAUUGUCUGCUUAAAGCUCAUAUAAGUUUUUCAACGUUCCAUGAUCUCCCAAGUUCUGAAAAUCCCCUCCUUCAGAUUUCUGCUAAUUGGACUGAAAUAUUUCUAACCAUUAAAAAUUAAGGACCAAAAUGAAAUUUUAUACAUAAUUCUAGGACAUCUAUGAGUUUUACCCAUCAAUUCAUUAUUAUCUUGUGUAAUUGAGGAGCUUGUGUAUAAUUCUUUAAAAAAAAUCAGAUAAGAAGGAAAUACUUAUCUAGAUAUAGGUUUGAUUAAGAAAAAGAGAUGUUAAUCAAAGAGGUAAUUAUAGGCCAGCAACUAGAAUUCUAGAAGUUCUUUCUAGUUAUAAGAAGAAGAAGAAAAAGCAAGGAAUGAUGGGAAACCAGUGCUUGUGAGUUGUCGUACGUGGAUGCGUAGUGUUGAGGGUUGAAGGAGUCACUAUCUAGUUAUUUAGUUUAGGAUUGUUAGGAAACCCGGUUACAUUGGUUUUUAUCAAAAAUUCAAGGGUAAGAGAUUGGUUAUGGUUAGAGAAGGUAUUAACACACUUUACCUAAGGUAAACUUCUUUGUGUGGUUUUGAUGGGUUUUAAAAGUUUUUAUGAGUUCCUAACCUACAAUCAAUUUAUGGAUUAAGAUGAAGGCAAAUGGGUUUUCUACCACUCGUGCGUCGUAGUGAGAAAUACUUUCAAUUAAAAUAAGUAAAUGUUUAGUAUAAUUUUGAGAAUUUUCUAGUUAAUUUCUAAUAUUUAAAUACCAAUCUAGUUGUAGGUCCAACAUUUAUACCAGAAUAUUUACCAUUAAUUCUCAUGAAAUAAAAUUUUAUCGGUUAUAAAAAUAUUGAUUAAAUUCUCAUGAAUUCAAUAAAUUGAUUUAUUAAAUAAAAAAUGUAAGCAAUAUUAGGAAAUUUCUGCUUCAAUUUCCACCAGAGCCAACCCUUUGCCAUGACCCAGUCAAGAGUCAUGUACUAUCCAACCCCUCUUCCAUUAUGCCAUUACCACACUACCCUCUUUCCUUGCAGCAUUCCACACCCAGAACAACGACCACCAUCACCCCCUUCUAAUUCCUCCACCAAUGCACCCCCUCGGCACCGCUGCUGCCACCUCCUUCCUUUCCACCCUCUUAUUGCUCCUCCACUUAACGGCAUCAUUUCCUUAGAAUUACAUGAGUAAUCUUUCAAACUGCAACCAAAACUUCUCUUGUGGUGCCCUCACAGACAUCACCUACCCUUUCACCGGUGGCCAAGGGCGGAGGUACUUACAGGGCUGUAGCCCAGGUAGGAAAAAAAAAUAAAAUCCACAGUUACUAAAGAAGCAUAUUUUCAAGAACAAAAGCUGGGAAAUAAAAUAUCCAUCAAGUUUGGUUUUAAGAGACCAAAACGCAAAUGGAGUUCAAUUUUUUUUUUCCGACCACUAAAUUAUUUUUAACAAAAAUUUCAAUUAUCUUGCAUAGUAAACUUAAAAAAAAAACUUAAUUUUUUAGUUUUUUCCCACACUUAAAAAAAAAACAAAUUAAAUUAAAUAUUGAAAGAUGAAACUGUAAUAAAAAAAUAUAAACUUAAAAAAAUAAACUCAGACAAAUCACCUAAACUUAAGUUAAUAUCUCAAAUUCUCAAUUCAUUAAAUUCUAAAAUCAGACUCAACCAAGAAGUCCAGAUCAUGUUGAAGUAAGAAAUAAUAUAUAUAUAUAUAUAUAUAUAUAUAUAUAUAUAUAUAUAUUUCAAUUCUAAAACUUGCUGAGGUUUAAAAACAUAACAAUAAAAAAUGGAGGAUAAAAUCGCAAAAACAAAUUAAAUAAAAUAAAUAAUAAAAAAAAAUGAAAAUUAAAUCUAAUAAAUUUAAAAUUGAAAAAAAAAAUUCAAUUCUAUAAAAUAAUUCAAAUAAAAAAAUAUAAAUUAUACCUAGCUCUACUUUAGAACUUAAUGACAACUUUAAAUCAUUUAAAGUUGAUGCUAUUUCCAAGCUUGCUGAGAAAUUUUAUCUUAAAGAUUUCAAUGAACAAGAAAUAUAUUAUUUAAGAUUUUAGCUAGAGCAUUAUCAGAUUGAUAUGAUUCAUCAUAAGAGCUUUCAGAAUAUGUCUACUAAGAGUAAUCGUUUUCGGUUCGGUUUGUUUUUUAUAAAAAAAAGUAAUCAAACCAAAAAAUCUUUUUUUGAAAAAAACCUAAACUGAACCGAAACUUGUUCCAAUCGAAUAAUUUUGGUUCGGUUUGGUUUUUUAGAACAAAACCGGUUCAAAUCGGUAGGCUCGAUUUUUCCGGUUUGGCUCCGUUUUUUUGGUUUUAAGCUUAUAAAACCGAAACCGAACCAGUCAAUUUUUUCAAAAUUUUAAUCGGUUUAAUCAGUUUUUUUAUGGUUCAAUUUUUUCAAUUAUUUUUUUUAUUUUCUCUAUUUAAUCGGUUUUUUGGAUUUUUUGCUUACUUCUAAUGUCUAUCAUUUUUGAAUUAUGUCAAGGAUUAGCUGAAACAAAUAAAUCACAGCACUAUCAUUUGAUUGACAAGUUGAUUCGUUUUGUUUUUACUUUGCCUACACUACCACAACAGAGCGGACAUUUUUAGCUAUAAAACAUGUUAAAAUUGUGCUUCGUAAUAAAAUAAAAGAAUAAUUCUCACUACAAGAUUUCACAGUUUUACCGACGGACAUAUUCCGUCGGUGUGUGACAGAACGUUCGUCGGUAAAUUAUUUACCGACUAUAUUACCGACGGAAUACUUCCGUCGGAAUACCUUUUGUCGGUGAUUCCACAUUCCGUCGCUAUAUCCGUUGGUAAUAAAAAAAACACAUUUACCGACGGUUUUACCGACAGCCGGUGCGCGCCAAAAAAAAAGUUUCCCGCUUGGAAUAUACCGACGGAAUGUAUUCCGUCGGUGUUAUGUAAAUACCGAUGGAGGUUACUCCGUCGGCAAAAGUGUCGGUGAUAUUUCAUACCGACCGAAUAAAUCCGUCUGUAAAUUCGUCGGUAUUUGUAUACCGACGGAUUAUGUCCGUCGGUGAGUAUGUCGGUGAUGGGAUGGCAUACCUCAGACACUGUCCAAUGCCGACGGAUUUAUUCUGUCGGUAAAUCCCUGUGUAAUUUUUUUUUUUUUAAUUAUUUAGAAAAAAUAAUAUAAAUUAAUAGUAAUACAAACCAAUUAUGCAAAUAAAAUUUAUAUUAAGCAACAAAAACUCAAAGUUAAAUAAUAUUCAUUACAAAAUGAAUGUGUUUAAAAAAAAACAAUUAAUAUAAAGGUGGAGGAGGAGGAGGAGGAGGAGGUGGGGGUUAGGCGGCCAAAAAGGAUUAGGCGCACAUGUUCCGCCUUGUGUCAUGUUCAUGACCAUUUGACGAAGCUCUUCAUAGGCCGCUCUUUGUUGUUCAGACUCUGCUCUGCGUUGUUCGUUCCGCCAAUCUUUGCUCUUCUUUGAGUUGUGUGUACGCCUCUGAUAGGUGGUCGCACCUUUGCUGCAAGGCCACAAACUCCUUAGAUUGGGAGCUCGAUACAGAUUGGGAGCUCCCACCGGUUGAAGCAGUACCGGUCGACCGCAACUUGGCAGCGGUAGUGUUGGAGAGCCCGUAAACCCGAUUUUUAUCGGGUCCACCUGACGAUCCAGCCUCCAUCCACAAAUCCGGAUCGAAUUCCGGAUGGGUCGAAGGAUCAUCCCCGUAUCUCUCCCUCAACCGAUUAUUAUAGGUCUCCUGAAAAAAAAAAAUCAUAUUCAAUUCAAUAAACAUAAUAAUAACUUACAAAAUAAAAUGGUUAAACAAACACACCACAAACUGUUGAGCACGGUUGUCAACGAACUGUUGCGUCCCCUUUUGGCGGUCAUGACUCCGCACGUGCGUCUCCACAAACAGCUCCAUAGGGCUCGGCUCACGUCCAAGAGACGUAGCCUAUAUAUAAUGAAAAAAAUGUAUUAACAACAAAUUAAUUGAACGAUAUAUUUCAUUUAAAUUAAUCUUACCAUCCGUUUCGCAUGUGCAGCAAACGGAACGGAGCCGCCGGUGUGCGUUGUAACCGAGCCAUGAAUUUGCCGAUUCCGGUUGCCGGCACCGGACUGUGAGCGUCGAGUGAACCGCUCAGACGUCACGUGCUGAAGAUAGUGCGGCCAUAUAUCUUCCGGGAUGUAUAUUGGUUUGAAAUCCCUCCAAACCGCAACAUCGUUCCAGCCUUGUAACCCCUUAUCCCUCGCUUUUUUUUGCUUUUUUCUGGGCGUCAUACCAAAAAUCACGCAACCUAAUUCACGCACGAAAAAAUUACAUUUCAAAACAUAAAUAAUUAUGUAAAAAAAAGUCGUAUUGUUUUCGAUGUUACCUAAUUGCCGCGUGAUUUUCCCACACCCUCCUCACAACACUGUCAUGUUCAUCGUCCCAGCAGAAUCGAUGCUGUAUAUAAAAAAAUAAUUUUUUAAAAUGUUAAUAAUUUAUUUACAAUUAUAACAUGAAUUUAUAAUUAGAAAUAAGCUGAAAAUUAUAUAUUAACACGAACCUCAAAUCUACGAAACCAUGCAUUGAUUUGAGGCAUCCAUUCAGGAUGUCUGGAUAUCUGACUCCAUUGAAACAAUGGAAUCUCCAUCGACGCUUUAAACGCCGAUGAUAUUAAUCGGGCGGCCUCAAUGUUUGUGAACCUGAAAAGAAAUGAAAUUAAUUUGUGAUUACUUCAUAAAUUAUGUUUUAAAUUUGUUUUUUUUAUAUAAAAAAAACUAAAACAUUAACAAACUUACAUUGAAAGAUCGUCCUUCCACUGUGCCUCGAACUGGCGGGUAAAUUGAUUCCGCUUCGAAGGCAUGCCGCGUCUGCGAUGUGAAACAUCGCUGGAAGAGGCAGCAUCGGUUGACGGCGCAGGUGGUGUAGGUGCCUCUUCUUGAGAGGCACCUAAGGAAACAUCAUCAUCGCUGCUAGACGAACUUGAUUCGACUGGACGACCAGCUCUGGUUUUCAUUUUGCGCAUCUAAACAAUUUUAUAUUAAUAAUUGUAAAAUAAAAUUCAAAAGUUAAAAAAAAAUCGGCAGCACCUCCCCUAUACUGGAUACUACCCAAAUCCACAAACCUGCAAAUAUUAACAAUAGCCACAACCAAUCGAACCAAUCUAUACUAAUUAUUCCAACAUAUUCAACUAUUAAUCCUAAGAUAAAUUCAACGUUAACAAUUACAAUUCACAAAUUAAUCAAUAAUUAUAUUCAAAACAAUAAAAAAUAUAACAAAAAAUAAAUUCAAUAAAUCAACAAAUUAUACUUCAACAAAUUAACAAUUACAAUUCAACAAAUUCAAAAAAUUCAAAAAAAUUCAAAAAUUUCAACUUUAACUAAUUCUAAGUUAAAUUAACUAAUAACAAUUCUAACAACACAACAACAAAAAAUAUUCAAUAAAUCAACAAUUAAAUUCAAUUAUUCAACAAUUAAAUUAACAAAUAUUCAACAAAUUCAAAAAAUAUUCAAAAAAUUCAACUUUAACUAAUUCUAAGUUAAAUUACCUAAUAACAAUUCUAACAACACAACAACAAAAAAUAUUCAAUAAAUCCAACAAUUAAAUUCAAUUAUUCAACAAUUAAAUUAACAAAUAUUCAACAAAUUCAAAAAAUAUUCAAAAAAUUCAACUUUAACUAAUUCUAAGUUAAAUUACCUAAUAACAAUUCUAACAACACAACAACAAAAAAUAUUCAAUAAAUCCAACAAUUAAAUUCAAUUAUUCAACAAUUAAAUUAACAAAUAUUCAACAAAUUCAAAAAAUUCAAAAAAUAUUCAAAAAAUUCAACUUUAACUAAUUCUAAGUUAAAUUACCUAAUAACAAUUCUAACAACACAACAACAAAAAAUAUUCAAUAAAUUCAACAAUUAAAUUCAAUUAUUCAACAAUUAAAUUAACAAAUAUUCAACAAAUUCAAAAAAUUCAAAAAAUAUUCAAAAAAUUCAACUUUAACUAAUUCUAAGUUAAAUUACCUAAUAAAAAUUCUAACAACACAACAACAAAAUAUAUUCAAUAAAUUCAACAAUUAAAUUAACAAUUAUUCAACAAAUUCAAAAAAUAUUCAAAAAAAAAAAAGGAACGAAAUAUACAUACCUUAAUAAUGUGUCAAAUUCAAAACUUUAUCUACAUUGCAACAAAAAACACCAACACAACAAAAAUAAAAACAACUAAAAAUAAAAUAAAAUAAAAUAAAUUAGAAAAAAACACAUACCUUUUAAUAUAAUGAAGAUUUACAACACCAAAUCUUGCUAGAGAUUAAAGGUGAAAGUGUUUAAGGAUUGAGGGGGAAAAAAAUGAAAAAUCUAGGCUGAAAAACGCAGGAGAAGAGAAGAAGCGGCGGGGAGAAGAAGAAAAAAUGAGGCGAAGCGGCGGGGGUGGAACUUAUAGGUCAAUUUUACCGACGGAAUCCCCGACGGAAUUAACAUCCGUCGGUAACAGGUUACAAAUCCGUCGGUAAAAGGUCAAAAUUCCGUCGGUAUUUUUCGAAUUUCGCCCCGAAUUUUUAAAAGCCCUCCAAAAUUUUCGCAGUCCGUCGGUGAUUCCGUCGGUAAGCUGACAAGUUCAGGGGCGCAUUAAUUAACGCACUUUGGGAAACGCGCGGUCCGUCGGUAAUUCUGUCGGUAAAAUGGGUAACCGACAAAUUACCGACGGACCUACGCCGUCGGUAAUACCGUCGAUGGUGGUGUUAUGUUUUCGAGCUUACUGUGAGAUGCCGACGGAUGGCGAUUCGUCGGCAUAGCCGUCGGUGAUUGUGGCAUUUUGUUGUAAAUAUUUUCGAACUCUCUGUGAGAUACCGACGGAUGGCGAUCCGUCGGCAGGGCCGUCGGUGAUUGUGGCAUUUUGUUGUAAAUAUUUUCGAACUCUCUGUGAGAUACCGACGGAUGGCGAUCCGUCGGCAUGGCCGUCGGUGAUUGUGGCAUUUUGUUGUAAAUAUUUUCGAACUCUCUGUGAGAUACCGACGGACGGUGAGUCCGUCGGUAUGGACGUCGGUAAGUUUGCAUUAUGCAGGAAAGUUUGUCUUUGUAUUGCCUGUUUACCUUCCUGCAGAAACUUAACUAAUAAACUGUCCAUCACAUAAACACAAUAACCACAUUGCUUAAACAGUAAAUAUUUUGUUUUACAAAAUACAUCAUCAAUAAUCUAAAUUACAUGAGACAAAUGUUUUUACAUAGGGCUUCAUGUUCAUAAUUAGUCGGAAUUUUCUUCUUCUUCCUCGUCAAUUGAAUUGUCAUCAUCUUCAUCGCAAUCUUCAAUAUGGAUAUCAUCUUCUUCAUCGACAUUUGGUUGUCCGCUAGAGCUGAGAACAACAUUCAACUCCUCUCCGUCAAUAUCAACAAGACUAUCAUCGAGAACUCGAAAAUUUGAAUUUUCUUCCAAUUCAAUCGAAGGAGCAACUCGAUAUGGUUCAACCAACUCACGAACUUGAAAGACUUCAUCUCGCACACUUGUGUCUUCUUUCUCAUCCUGAACAACCUCGACACGACCCCGUGGUUUCGUUUUUAAAACGGACAACCAAUCAACUCUUGAACGAUCCUUUCUAAAUGAAGGGGUGUAUGUGUAAUAAACUUGUUGACAUUGCUUUGCGAAAACAAAGACAUCGUUUAUGUUGCGGAGUCUAGCUUUUGAGUUGAUUUCAACCAGACCAUGGUGCGGAUCAACUCUGAUUCCUCUAUCCGUCGUGUCAUACCAAUAGCAUUUGAAUAAAAACACUUUAUUCUGCUCGCUAUGAUAUUGCAGUGUCUUCCCCUUCACAUCCAUGACGGUGUUGAAAAUAUUCUCAAACACGUUCUUUUCGAUGUGCAUGACGUCAAGGUUAUGGCGGAGAAGAUUUGUCUUCCAAUACGGAAGCUCCCAAAAGAUACUUCGCUUUACCCAAUUAUGGGUCAAACCAAAACCAGGAAACUUUUGCUUACCUGAUUGAAGGCCAAACACAAUGUCACCGUACUCUGAUACAACAUGAUGCAAUUCUUCACCAGAAAGACGCGGGGAUGCAAUAUCUUUUUCAACUCUACCAACAAAGAAAUCUUUUCUGUUCUUUCUGAACCUGUGAUUAAGUGGCAAGAAGCGACGAUGACAGUAAAAAAAAGAAGCUUUACCUCCGUUUGCUAGCGUGAAUGCCUUGUUGUUUUCCAUGCAGUAUGGACAUGCGAGUUUCCCAUGCGUGCUCCAACCAGAAAGCAUUCCAUAAGCUGGAAAAUCACUGAUAGUCCACAUCAAAGCCGCCCUCAUAAGGAAAUUUUGUUUCCUAGAUAUAUCAUAAGUCAGAGAUCCAGAGGACCACAACUGCGCCAGCUCAUCUAUCAACGGUCGAAGACAAACAUCUAUAUUCCGCCCCGGGCUGCUUGGACCGGGUAUGACAGUAGAUAGAAACAUGAACUCCGGCCUCAUACACAUUCCCGGUGGCAAGUUAUAAACUGUGAGAAUGACCGGCCAACAAGAAUAGGGAGCAGCAAAUGACCCAAAUGGGUUGAACCCGUCUGUACACAACCCAAGUCGAACAUUCCUUGAUUCAGCAGAAAAGUCAGGAUGAACACUGUUAAAGCGUUUCCACGCUUCGCCAUCAGAAGGAUGCACCAUCACACCAUCAACGACAUCGUGUGUUUGGUGCCAUGUCAUGUGCUCAGCAGUCCUUGGUGACAUAAAUAACCUCUGCAGUCUAGGUGUGAUCGGGAAAUAUCUAAGUUUUUUAUAUGCCACUAGAGUCUUCCCCCUGCCAGUUCUGGGUUUGUAACGGGAAUGCCCGCAUGUCAUGCACUCGGUCAUCACAGCAUUUUCAAGGUAGUAUAACAUGCAGAAGUUAGGGCACAUGUCAAUUUUCUGGUAUCCUAAACCGAGGGGUUUCAUCAUGGACUUCGCAGCAUAGAAGUUCUCUUUGAGCCUGUUCCCUUCUGGUAAAAUGCUUCUUGCCCAAUCAAUAAUUUUGUCAUACCCGGCCUCACUCAACCCGUGAUCUGACUUGAUGGUGAACACCUGUGCCACAGCCGAUAAUUUACUGUGGUUUGUGCAGCCAUCCCAUAAUGGUUCGUCAGAAUCUUUCAACAAAUCAAAAAACCUAGCUGCCUCUGCAUUAGGUUCUUCUUCUACGAUUGGACAUUGAUUGACAUUAUCUUGAUUCAUUCUCAUUGCAUCCAUAACCAUGUUUCUGUAAGGAUUAGUGUUGUCAUUUGCCGCUUCAUGCACGUUGCUAGCACUAGAAGUUGACCCAACCACCGUUUCUCCCAUUCUCCUAUUACUAACAAAUACCUCUCCAUGUGCAUACCAACACUCGUAAUCCUCCACAAACCCUUUGUGUAGAAGAUGCAUCAUUACAACAUCUGGAUGCAGAUACUUUUUAUUUUGACACUUCCUGCAUGGACACCUAAUACCGCCUCCAGUAAAAUUUCUGGGAAUAGAUGUUGCGAAAUUAAUAAAACCCUGAACCCCGUUACAAUAAUCCAUCCUCCGCAAUCCUUGGGGUGAAUCUAGAUACAUCCAUGAACGAUCAUCCAUGACUUCUAUCGAACCUCUAUAAAAAGGACCCAUUAAUUAAGCAAGCUCUUAAUUAUUUCAAAACACAACAUGUAAUUCGGUAAUUCUACAAAUUAAAUUUUAACAAUUUUCAAACAAAUACAAUCUUACAAAAUCUAAAACAAACCAUAACAAGUAUAAAAUUAUACAUUCAUAUACUACAAGUUUGUUUGAGAAAUAACAAUAAAACAUGUACAUCUACUAAAAAAAAAAUAAUACAUAUACUAAAAAAACAAUAAAAUUAACAUUUAAAUGUUAAAAUUUUAAAAGAUAGAAUUACUUACAAAAAAUGAUAAAAUCCGUCGGUAAAUCAGAACACGGAUGCUGUGACCACAAAACAAAUACAACUUGUUGUGCUGAGAUGAGAAAAAUUCUUGUUUUGGGGUGAGGGGGGGCUGGUUAUUUUGCAGAUGGGGAGGGUUAGGAUUAGGAAGAAGAGGAGAAAUGGGGGAGAGAGUGUCGGCAGAGGAGCCAUAUAUUAACUUUUGCCGACGGACUUACCGACGGACAUUAAUAUCGCCGGUGAAUCCGUCGGCAAAACCGUCGGUAAUUCUGAAGGGCAAUCGACACGUCACCGCACGGACCUACUGUUCAAAUCCAUCAGUGAUUCCGUCGGUAUUUUUAACGGUGCACCCGUCACGUCAUUGGUACGGAUCUGGCAUUUCAAAUCCGUCGGUGAUUCCGUCGGUAUGUUUUGACGGUGAAUAGGUCAACAUCACGCGUACGGGCCCCAGUUUUUAAUUCCGUCGGUGAUUCCGUCGGAAAAAUCACCCGCCAAAACCUCCGCGCUCCUGCCCGCCCUUUUUUCAUUAAUUCUGAAUUUUCGGUCGGUAAUUACCGACGGAAAGAGUCCGUCGGUAAUUACUGACCGAAGUACCGACGAAUAAUUUCCGUCGGUGAUUUCGGCCGAAAAAUACCGACAGAAAAAAUUCCGUCGGUAUGUCCGUUGGUAUUUAGCGAUUUUCUGGUAGUGUCUUAACGUAUUCUAUAAUGAUUUACUUUGAACAAGAGCUUGUUGAAGAUAUUGAUUUGGAUUCGAUCAUAGAUGAAUUUUAUUAUACAAAACAUCAAAGGAUGCAACUUUAAUAUUGUAUUUUAUUUUUAAUUUUAAUUUUAUAUACUUUAAAUUUUAUUUUAUUUAUAUUUUGUAUUAUGUAUUUGGAUUGAAACUUUAUUAUUAAUUUGAUAAAUUUAUAUAUACAAGUUAAUAAUUGAUCUUAAAAAAUAAUUUAUGUAUAUUUAUAUUAUAGCCCAGGAUAAAAAACAUUCCUAGCUCCGCCCUUGCCGGUGGCCAACGACCACCCGUCUGCGGCCCACAGGAGUUCCAGCUCACAUGUAAUAUUGUUGACUCAGUGACCACCCUCAUGGUUAAAUCACUGACUUACCGAGUCACUCUGGUUAACCAAACCAGCCAAACCUUAAGGCUCUCACGUUCAGACUUCUACGAUGAGUACCCUCCAUGCACCCACCAAUCCAGUAGCACCACUUUUGAUAACGUUACCUUCAGUCUUGGCUCCAACCAUGAAACCCUUUCUUUGUUUUAUGGGUGCACGGACUUAGGUGGCUCUGUCAAGGAAAACUCUAAGUUCUCAUGUCCCAUGCCAGGAUAUUUAGAAGAAGGGUUUUUCAAGGUUGGUGAUCAUCCUUAUGUGGAUCGGUGUCGGACUAGUUUUCAAGUGCCAUUUCUCCGGAGGUGGAAACAACAACUUGAGGCUGAAGGGUCAUCAUUACUUGGUAAGGUUUUGAAAGAAGGGUUUGAUGUACGUUAUAGUGAUCCUUACAGUGCUGAUUGUCAGAAGUGUUCCAAGCAUUCUGGUAGGCAAUGUGGGUUUGAUGGUAAAGAACCUAUUUGCAUCUGUAAUCAUCACCUCUGUCCUGUUCCUGUUCCUGUUCCUGUUCCUGUUCCUGGUCCUGGUAAGUUAAAAUCGAUAUUAAUUUUUACUAGCCGAAAUCUUCUACGAGUUUGGUAGCUUUCAAGAAAUGCUAGGCCUUCUUGUGGUAAUUUAUAUGCAGGUUUUUUUUAUAUCAAAUUACGCCAAGCUUCAAUGAUUUCAAGAAUUAAUGCUUGAAUUGCUUGGUAAGGGUUAGAAAUUAAAUUUUAUAAUUUUAUUUUUAAAUUAGUAUAUAAAAACAAUUUAAAAAUUAAAAAUUAAAAACAUUUACUUAAACAACUUAUUAGUUAUUUAUGAUAACAUUUAAUCAACCCACCUUAAUAUUUUAAAAGACAUAAGACCCCAUUCAUGCCAAUCAAACAAAUGAUCAGAAAUAAAUAAGAUAUUCCCUCAUGACUUUAGUCUAAUGAAACAUCAAACUCAUGAUAUACGUGAAGAAACAAAUAAUAUGUUCGAAUAUGUUAGAUAAUUUUGAUUGGACAAAAAGAUGCACGGAACCAAAAAAACAUCCAUGAACUAACAAAUAAUCCUCUUUCCACAGCAGAAUUCACACCUCAACCGCUUUGUAAGAAAUAAAACAUUUAUCAUGAACAUGAACUUGGUCUUGGUCUUAGUCUUGGUCUUGCUAUUGUGAAAUUAUACUUUAGGCAUCAGUUUUUUACUGUAUAAAAAUUUACAGUGAAAUGCUGAUUUUAUCUCUCAAUCACAAAGUAACAUGUCUUGGAUUUAGAGGUAUAAAGGUAUUUUCCAAACAGCCCCUAUAAAAAAAGCUUUUCCAUGUUGGAAAAGGUUUAGAAUGGUAUUGUCGCAAAGUCACCUGUUUCAUAUUGGUUAAGGAAAAGAUUUAUUUCGUUAGAUUACAAGUGGAAAUCAAAUAUUAUCAUUACUGUUGAUUUACAAAUUAAUGAAUUUGAGAGAAUACUAAGAAAAAAAUUAGUAUGAAAAUAUAUAGUUAUGAAAAGAUAAGGAGAUCGAGGAGAGUACUAAUUUUUCAGCUUUAGUCUUUCGGUAUUAAACUGGAGAAAGUACAAGCACACUGCUUUUUUUUCCCCCUCAUGCAUGGAUGUAGAUCUUGACAUGGAAGUCACGGUGAUUUCUAAAUUAUAAUAUGGAGAUAUUGUAAAAAAUUACGAUGUUCCUGCUUCUAACACUCCCAGACCAUAGUGUUAAAUAAUAUUUAUGUUGUCUUAUUUAUUAAAGGUAGAAUAGUACUUUCAGUUUAACCUAUAUAUACUUUAUUUGUAAUUAGGUUAAAACUAAGCAUUCAUAAUAAACAGAUUAUUCAAAAAUCUAGCCUCCGUUUUGUGUUUGAUCUCAAUUAAUUUAACAUGGUAUCAGAGCUGGUUUUAUGGAACGAGGCUUAAUCUCAAUUAAAUUUUUUUUGGAGUGAUAUUUUGUCUUCCGCUUCUGCAAAAUUAGGUAUUUCGAUAGUUUCUGCAAUUAUUUUGGUAUUUCAUCUUCCCUUCAGCAUCUACAAUUUGGUAUUUGCGUUCAGUUUUUGCAAAUUUGUUUUGUGUUUUGGAGUAAUCGUAUAAUUUCGAGAAGAGAUUUGUUUAGUUUCUGCAAUUUUGUAUUUUGUUUCCGCUGCUUUUGCAUUCUGGUUAUUUGUGAUUGCUGAUUAUGGCUACUGAAAGAGAUGAUUCACUUCAGUCUGUGAGUGUGAGGUUGGAUGGGAAGAAUUAUUCGUAUUGGAGUUAUGUGAUGAGAAAUUUCCUUAAGGGUAAGAAGAUGUGGGGGUAUGUUAGUGGGACUUAUAUGAUACCUAAGAAUGUUGAGGAGGGAGAUGUUGUUUUGAUAGAUACAUGGGAAGCAAAUAAUGCAAAGAUCAUUACUUGGAUCAACAAUUCUGUUGAGCAUUCGAUAGGUAUGCAGUUGGCGAAGUAUGAGACAACAAAAGAGGUUUGGGAUCAUCUGCAAAGGUUAUUCACACAAUCAAAUUUUGCAAAACAAUAUCAAUUAGAGAAUGACAUACGAGCUCUUCAUCAGAAGAAUAUGAGUAUCCAAGAGUUUUAUUCUGCUAUGACAGAUCUUUGGGAUCAAUUGGCUCUUACAGAAUCGGCAGAAUUAAAGGCAUGUGGUGCCUAUAUUGAGCGUAGAGAGCAGCAACGAUUGGUACAGUUUUUAACAGCACUUCGUAGUGAUUUCGAAGGACUUAGAGGUUCAAUUCUGCAUCGUUCUCCACUGCCUUCUGUUGACUCUGUUGUUAGUGAGUUAUUGGCUGAAGAAAUACGUCUUCAGUCUUAUUCUGAAAAGGGAAUUCUUUCUGCUUCAAAUCCUUCAGUAUUAGCAGUGCCUUCUAAGCCAUUCUCUAAUCAUCAGAAUAAGCCUUACACAAGGGUUGGCUUCGAUGAGUGCAGUUUCUGUAAGCAGAAAGGUCAUUGGAAGGCUCAGUGUCCUAAGUUGAGACAGCAGAAUCAAGCUUGGAAGUCUGGCAAUCAGUCACAAUCUAAUGCUCAUAGACCACCUCAGGGUUAUAAACCACAACACCACAAUACUGCAGCAGUAGCUUCCUCAGGUUCUAUUACCGAUCCUAAUAUUUUGGCUGAGCAAUUUCAGAAGUUUCUCUCCUUGCAGCCACAAGCAAUGUCCGCUUCUUCUUCCAUAGGUCAGUUGCCUCAUAGUUCCUCAGGUAUGUCACAUUCUGAAUGGGUCUUGGAUUCUGGUGCUUCUCAUCAUAUGUCUCCAGAUUCCUCAUCUUUUACCUUUGUAUCCCCUUUGUCCUCCAUUCCUGUUAUGACUGCUGAUGGCACUCAAAUGCCCUUAGCAGGUGUUGGUUCUGUUGUCACACCUCACAUGUCUCUCCCUAAUGUUUAUCUUAUUCCACAACUCAAAUUGAAUCUUGCGUCUGUUGGUCAAAUAUGUGAUUCUGGUGAUUAUUUAGUCAUGUUUUCUGGUUCCUUUUGUUGUAUACAGGAUCUGCAGUCUCAGAAGCUGAUUGGGACAGGCCGUAGGGAGAAUGGACUAUAUAUUUUGGAUGAGUUAAAAGUGCCAGUUGUUGUUGCUGCCGCUGCUACUACUACCGUUGAUUUGUCUUCCUUUCGUUUGAGUAUUUCAUCUUCUAGUUUUUAUUUAUGGCAUUCCCGUCUAGGUCAUGUUUCGUCUUCUCGUUUGAGAUUUUUGGCAUCCACAGGAGCUUUAGGAAAUUUGAAAACUUGUGACAUUUCUGAUUGUAGUGGAUGUAAAUUGGCAAAAUUUUCCGCCUUACCUUUUAAUCGAAGUAUUUCUGUUUCUUCUUCACCAUUUGAUUUGAUUCAUUCUGAUGUAUGGGGACCUUCUCCUGUUGCCACAAAAGGAGGGUCUCGAUAUUAUGUCUCUUUUAUUGAUGAUCAUACUCGUUAUUGUUGGGUUUAUUUAAUGAAACAUCGUUCUGAAUUCUUUGAGAUAUAUGCAGCUUUUCGAGCUCUUAUCAAAACUCAAUAUUCUACUGUGAUCAAAUGCUUUAGGUGUGAUUUAGGUGGGGAAUACACUUCUAAUAAAUUUUGCCAAUUGCUUGCCCUAGAUGGAACCAUCCACCAAACUUCAUGUACAGAUACUCCUGAGCAAAAUGGUGUUGCUGAAAGAAAACAUAGGCACAUUGUCGAAACUGCUCGUUCUCUCUUGUUGUCUGCUUUUGUUCCUAGUGAGUUUUGGGGAGAAGCUGUUCUUACUACUGUAAGCUUGAUUAAUACAAUUUCAUCUUCUCAUAGUUCGGGUCUAUCUCCUUUUGAAAAGUUAUAUGGGUAUGUCCCUGAUUAUUCCUCAUUUAGAGUCUUUGGUUGUACUUGUUUCGUUCUUCGUCCUCAUGUAGAACGAAGUAAGCUAUCCUCUCGAUCCGCUAUUUGUGUCUUUUUGGGCUAUGGUGAAGGUAAAAAGGGUUAUCGUUGUUUUGAUCCAAUAACUCAGAAACUUUAUGUGUCUCGUCAUGUUGUCUUCCUUGAGCAUAUACCUUUCUUUUCUAUUCCAUCCACUACUCAUAACCUGACUAAAUCUGAUCUUAUUAGUAUAGAUCCAUUUUCUGAGGAUUCUGGUAAUGAUAGCUCUCCCCAUGUUCGAUCAAUUUGUACUCAUAACUCUGCAGGUACUGGUACUUUACUCUCUGGCACACCUGAAGCUCCAUUCUCAUCUACAGCCCCUCAAGCUUCAUCUGAGAUUGUGGAUCCACCUCCACGUCAGUCCAUCCGUAUUCGUAAGUCCACAAAACUACCAGAUUUUGCUUAUUCUUGUUAUUCUUCAUCAUUUACUUCCUUUUUAGCCUCUAUUCAUUGUCUUGUUGAGCCCUCUUCCUAUAAAGAGGCAAUUCUUGAUCCGCUUUGGCAGCAAGCUAUGGAUGAGGAACUUUCUGCAUUGCAUAAGACAGAUACUUGGGAUCUGGUUCCUCUACCUCCUGGUAAGAGUGUUGUUGGUUGUCGUUGGGUGUAUAAGAUCAAGACUAAUUCUGAUGGGUCUAUUGAGCGAUAUAAAGCUAGGUUGGUUGCCAAAGGAUACUCUCAACAGUAUGGUAUGGACUAUGAGGAGACAUUUGCUCCGGUUGCAAAAAUGACUACUAUUCGUACUCUUAUUGUCGUAGCUUCGAUUCGUCAAUGGCAUAUUUCUCAACUUGAUGUUAAAAAUGCCUUCUUGAAUGGAGAUCUUCAAGAAGAAGUUUAUAUGGCACCCCCUCCUGGUAUUUCACAUGACUCUGGAUAUGUUUGUAAGCUUAAGAAAGCAUUAUAUGGUCUCAAACAAGCACCCCGUGCUUGGUUUGAGAAAUUCUCUAUUGUGAUCUCGUCACUUGGCUUUGUUUCUAGCAGUCAUGAUUCUGCUCUUUUUAUUAAGUGCACUGAUGCAGGUCGUAUCAUUCUGUCUUUAUAUGUUGAUGACAUGAUUAUUACUAGUGAUGACAUUGAUGGUAUUUCAGUUUUGAAGACAGAGUUGGCUAGACGAUUUGAGAUGAAGGAUUUGGGUUAUCUUCGAUAUUUCCUGGGUAUUGAGGUAGCAUACUCACCUAGAGGUUACCUUCUUUCUCAGUCGAAAUAUGUUGCAGAUAUUCUUGAGCGGGCUAGACUUACUGAUAACAAGACUGUGGAUACUCCUAUUGAGGUUAACGCAAGGUACUCUUCUUCUGAUGGUUUACCUUUGAUAGAUCCUACUUUAUACCGCACUAUUGUUGGGAGUUUGGUAUAUCUCACCAUUACUUGUCCAGAUAUUGCAUAUGUUGUUCAUGUUGUUAGUCAGUUUGUUGCUUCUCCUACUACUGUUCACUGGGCAGCUGUUCUUCGUAUUUUGUGAUAUCUUCGGGGUACAGUUUUUCAAAGUCUUUUACUUUCAUCCACCUCUUCCUUGGAGUUGCGUGCAUACUCUGAUGCUGAUCAUGGUAGUGAUCCCAUAGAUCGCAAGUCUGUUACCGGGUUUUGUAUCUUUUUAGGUGAUUCUCUUAUUUCUUGGAAGAGCAAGAAACAAUCUAUUGUUUCUCAAUCAUCCACCGAAGCAGAAUAUCGUGUCAUGGCAUCUACUACCAAAGAGAUUAUUUGGUUACGUUGGUUACUUGCUGAUAUGGGAGUUUCCUUUUCCCAUCCUACUCCUAUGUAUUGUGACAACCAGAGUUCUAUUCAGAUUGCUCACAACUCGAUUUUUCAUGAGCAGACUAAGCACAUUGAAAUCGAUUGUCAUCUUACUCGUCAUCAUCUCAAGCAUGGAACCAUUACUUUGCCUUUUGUUCCUUCUUCAUUGUAGAUUGCAGAUUUCUUUACCAAGGCGCAUUCCAUAUCUCGUUUUCGUUUUCUAGUUGGCAAACUCUCGAUGCUUGUAGCUGCCGCAUCGUGAGUUUGAGGGGAGAUGUUAAAUAAUAUUUAUGUUGUCUUAUUUAUUAAGGGUAGAAUAGUACUUUCAGUUUAACCUAUAUAUACUUUAUUUGUAAUUAGGUUAAGACUAAGCAUUCAUAAUAAACAGAUUAUUCAAAAAUCUAGCCUCCGUUUUGUGUUUGAUCUCAAUUAAUUUAACACAUAGAAGGGUGCAAGUGUCGUCGAACAUCUUUAUCAAAAGAAGAUGAUUCAAGUGUAGUUUCCAGUGUCUCUACUACCACAUCGGAACUUCUUUCAGUUAUAAAAAAUUAAAAAAAAUCGAGGUAAAUUAGUAGUAAUUUUUUAAUGAUUGACAAAGUCCAAUGCUAUACACUGUGUGUCAGGUAGAAAUGUAAAAAGUUAACAAGAACAGGACAACCAGUAUUCAAGAAAGAAUUGUAAAGCUGCCAUGGAAUGGUUAGCUUAAGUUUACAACAAUAUAGAUUAAGACAUUAAGGAGUUCAGAAAAUAAAGACAUUACCUAAUAUAUCACACUUAAUUUCAGAAUUAAUUCCUGAACUUUAUUGAAUUUUAUGUCUGCUGAGACUGAUUCUAUUAUUUGUUUAUUACUAAUUAACCACGACAUCUUCCAUUAGUUAUCAUCAUCACCAUCAUCAUGAGUCAGCACAUUCCACUUCUUUGUCUUUGGGGUAAUUUCAUUUUUUUUAUUAUUGUUGCUGAUCACCAAUGAAAGUUGUAAAAUUUUCUUAUAUAAGAAACUUACUUGAUGUUCAUGUUACAGGAACAAGAUCUUCAAGGUUUGGUAAGGGUCUUAAGAUUGCUACAGGUGAAUAUAAUAAUAAGAAUCUAAUAUUUUCAUUUGAUGACGACGACAUCGAUGAUAAUGAUGAUGAUUAUUUUCUUUUACAGCCAUAUCAGCAGUUAUGACAGCGAUAAUUGCUUUUUCUAUAAUUGCAAUUUGUUUCAGUGGAAGAGAAGGCUCAUUUAGUGGCAUUAUAGCAAUGACCUUCAAGCUGAAGAGUUCACAGAAUGUUGACAGGUUUGAUGAUAGGUCCCUGUCACAGCUAGUAAUAAAAGACAAAGAUAAAUCACAAUUGUAUUCUGCUUUGGGCGAGAAUAAGCCACAAGUUGAUAUUAUUGAAUUUUUAAUGAAUCCUUUCUCUGUCUCAUACCAGAGUUUAAAUGGUAGGGCAUAUAAAGUCAGAAUAAAUGGAAUACCUUGAAGUCGGACGUGUAUGUUUUCAAAUCUGCCCUGACAUUUCAAUGGAUUCCCAUUUGCCACCUUCACGUUGAAGGGCUGUGUUGGUAUCACUGGCAAGUGUAGCCAAUUAGCAAUCUGUUCGCUAAUGAAAUUGUGCGUGGAGCCACUGUGCCACUAUCAAUGAGGACAGUCAAAUCUUGAUUCUCAAUUCUUGCCAUAAUUCGCAUUGUUCUGGCAGUUGACCAACCAGUAAGAGCAUGUAAUGAUAUUUGAGGUUCAUCACCUUCAAAUUCCUCGUCAUCUUGCAAGCUCGUCUCAUCAUCCCCUUCCAGUAGCAACAGACGGGGCUUUUGACACUUAUGGCCAGGAGUGAAUUUUUCAUCACAAUUAAAGCAGAGACCUUGAGAUCGUCUCUUCUGCAUCUCGUCCCAAGCAAGACAUUUCAUGGGCAUGGCCGCUGGUGACUUUGUUGGAGAAAAGGAAGCAAUUGGAUUAUGAUUGAUGGAAAAUGGCUUACUGUUACGUCAUUGGCGAGUUAAUUGUUCAUCUCGCAUUCUGGCUAGGCUUAUUGCUUCUUUCAAUGAUUUGGGUUUAAACAUCCUAAUCCCUUCUGCUAUGUCUGGUUUCAAGCCUCCCAUAAAAGUCCCCACUAGUGCUUUUUGAGUCCAGCCUUGCACACGAUUACCCAGCCUCUCGAAUUCUCUUUGGUACUCCCAUAAUGAGCCCCCUUGUCUCACCCUUGACAAUGCUUCAUCAAAAUCCUCACAUUCUGGUGGUCCAAACCUUGCCCACAAUUCCUCCUCAAAAAUUGGCCAUGUCACCUCUCUGUCUUUGUCUUUGUAAGCACGUCUCAGCCAUUGCCACCACUGGUUCGCCUCCCCUUGAAUAUGAAAAGAUGCUAACGACACCUUUUGUGUUUCGGCAGUGCCUUGAUACUCAAAGAAUUGAUCAACUCUGUUGAACCAUUCAGUGGGGUCAUCUCCUGAGUAUAUUGGAAACUCAAGCUUCGCCAGUUUGGAAGAGAACAUAUGUUUGUUCCCAUCUGUUCGUUCUGUGAAUUCUUCACGCUGAUGGCGAGGUCGUCCGUUGCGCUCAAUGGAUUGGCUGCUGGAUCCUUCUUUGUUGGACAGUAACGCCUCUAUCAAUUUGUUGAUGUUGGCUUCCAUCUGAUGCAUUUUGUCAACAAGGGUAAUCUCCAUUCGACUCAUUCCAUCCUGAAGUCCUCCCAGACCCACUUCUAAAUUUUCUAUUCGCUCCUUGUUUGUUGUCAUUGUUGACCAGCUCUAAUACCAAUUGAUAGGUCCCUGUCACAGCUAGUAAUAAAAGACAAAGAUAAAUCACAAUUGUAUUCUGCUUUGGGCGAGAAUAAGCCAUAAGUUGAUAUUAUUGAAUUUUUAAUGAAUCCUUUCUCUGUCUCAUACCAGAGUUUAAAUACAGGAAUGAAAUAACAAACUUUCCUAAAAUACUGGCACGACUACAUACAAUCAAGAUUCUUAGCAACUGACUCCUGCUACAUAGUUGGCAUUUAUUUAAUUUGAUAAAUAAGACUUGACUUCUUCCUCCCGUGCACUGAGGACACUGCAGUGACUGGAUCCCCUUGACUCGUUCUUCCCUUGACUGGCUCUUCACAGCUCUAUGAACCUGCGAUUCUUUUUAGGAACUCUGUGCGAUCUUCUUGGCUCCAGAUCACUUGGCUCCAGCUCAUCACUUGGCUCCAGCUACUGCUUAUCAUUUGAAACAUUUAUGAUGUAUCAUUGUCUCACCCCAAGGCGUUAUUCAUAUUCAGACAUUAAGAAAAUCACCAACUCAUUCACCAAUAAACUAGGUGAGGGGGGAUUUGGUAAUGUAUACAAAGGAAAGUUAACGGACGGUCGACUUGUGGUCGUAAAAGUCCUAAAAGAAUCCAAAGGUGAUGGAGAAAAGUUCAUGAAUGAAGUUGCGAGCAUUAGCAGAACUUCCCACGUGAAUAUAGUUACACUUUUGGGUUUCUGCUAUGAGAAGACUAAAAGAGCUUUGAUCUACGAAUUCAUGACCAAGGGAUCUUUAGACAAGUUCAUAUCUUAUGAAGGAACCCCAGAUACAAAUUUUGGUUUACAAUGGGAAAGGUUUUAUGAAAUUGCAGUUGGUAUUGCUAGAGGUCUCGAGUACUUACAUAGAGGUUGUAACACUCGACUUGUGCAUUUUGACAUAAAGCCUCACAACAUUCUUCUCAAUGAAGAUUUUUGUCCAAAGAUCUCUGAUUUUGGUCUGGCAAAGCUAUGCAAGAGUAAAGAGAGUAAGGUUUCAAUGACAGACGCAAGAGGGACUGUUGGUUACAUAGCACCUGAAGUGUUCUGCAGAAAUUUUGGUGGAGUAUCUUACAAGUCUGAUGUGUAUAGCUAUGGAAUGAUGGUUCUAGAAAUGGUCGGAGAAAGAAAAAAAAAAUAUACUGGAUCUUCGAAAACCAGUGAAAUGUAUUUCCCUGAUUGGUUUUACAAGUAUCUUGAACCGGGAGAGAUUACAUUACUUCAUGGGGGUAUAUCAGAAGAGGAAGAAGAGAUUAUAAAAAAGAUGAUUUUAGUAGGUUUGUGGUAGAGAUGUUUGAAGGUAGUCUUCACCUCUUUGCAAAUUCCACUUAAACUUGUACUUUCUUCACCUAAAAGGUCUGCUCAAGAUCACUCUUCCACUAUAUCAUCACUGCCAAUGUGUCGUCACAGGGGGGUGGAGUGAACAAAUUGUCAGUUGAUGAAAGUAACUCUUAACUGGAGAUUUCAAUACUUUGUGUAGCCUGAUGAAGAUAUAAAAAACCUUAUUUCAUGUCCUUCAUCUAAGAGCUGCUUCUAGGCUGAAUGGUUCUUUGAUAUAGCUCACCGGAGGAUACUCGUACAGGAUUGGUAAGAGACACUAUCGUCUCUCUCCAUCUCUUUUUUUCACCACUGAUGCAUACCAAUUAUAAUAUGUUCUUCAUGUUCAAUCUGCUGAAAGUGUAGAACGUUCUAUUCCUACUUGCCUCUUAUUGUUUAUGAUUUCAAGAGUUAGACAAUAAAUGAGGUUCAGCUUUAUCAUGUCUAUGGUUAAUGUCAUAUGUCCUGCAUUACAACUUUCUUAGUGGACUUUCAUAUUUUUCUUACUCUGUUUAUUUGAGAAAUAUAUUUUCCAACUUGGUUUAAUAAGUAUGACAGAAGAUGAAAAAGAGAUUGUAAGGAAGUCCACUAUAGGAUGAGGAAAAGAUAUGAAGAUGAUCUUAGUGGGUUUGUGGCGCAUUCAAACAAAUCUGUCAGAUAGAGCAUCAACGACAUGAUAUGUGGAUAAUAUAUGUUAAUUGCAAGCACGCAGCACUAAUAGGAAACUCUACCCUCACUGCCUCUGGUUUUUGUUAAUGGUAAUAUGUGUUAAUUAUGAUUUGUACUUGAUGCUCAGAACUGUAGAAUUAGUCUGUCAUCCGUCACUGUUAAACAAGUUCAAAAUUUAGAGAAAUAACUUGUGGUUAAUUGAUAUCUUAGGGAGAUGAUGAUUCCUUGUGCCAAUUUCAGACGCAUCUUUACUACCCAUCUACCCUGCAUUUUGCUGGGGUAAGGGUCUUAUUGGAUCAAUACUGAGCUCUCAUACUAUCUUUCAUGUCCUGUAAAGCUCUUUCUGUUGUUUUGGUAUGGUCCAGGAGUGCUUCUUUCUUUCAUGUUGAAGGCAUUUUGACCAUUUUAAAUGUGGCAGAAUAUGAAACUGCCUGCUCAGCAGAGCUUGACUAUGAGUUUAUUUGAAAUGCUUUCAACAUUCCCUAUCACCAAUCAAAAAAACUAUGUUCGUAUGUAGGAACUUCUUGAGGCUUAUAUAAGUUUGUCAACGUUCUAUGAUCCCCCAAGUUCUGAAAAUCCCCUCCUUCAGAUUUUUGCUAACUGGACUGAAAUAAUUCUAACUAUUAAAAAUUAAGUACCAAAUUGAAAUUGUAUACGUAAUUUAGGGACAUGUAUGAGUUUUACCCAUCAAUUUAUUAUUAUCUUGUGUAGUUGAGGCGCUUGUGUAUAAUUCUUUAAAAAAAAUCAGAUAAGAAGGAAAUACUUAUCUAGAUAUAGGUUUGAUUAAGAAAAAGAGAUGUUAAUUAAAGAGGUAAUUAUAGGCUAACAACUAGAAUUCCAUAAGUUCUGUGUAGCCAUAAGGGGAAAAAAAAAGGAGCAAGGAACGAUGGGAAACCAAUGCUUGUGAGUUGUCACACGUGGACGCACGGUGUGGAGGGUUGAGGAAGUCGCUACCUAAUUAUUUGGUUCAGAAUCGCUACGAAACCUGAUUAUACUGGUUUUAUCAGAGAUUCAAGAGUAAGUGAUUGGUUUUGACUAGAAAAUGUAUUAGCUCUCCUAACACACUCUACCUAAUAUAAGCUACUUUGUGUGGUUUUCAUGGGUUUUAAAGAUUUUCAUGGGUUCCUAAUCGAUAGUCAAUCUAUGGUUUAAAAUGAAGGCGGAUGGGUUUUCUACAACUUGUGCAUCGUAGAAAACCUUUAAAAUAAGUAAAUAUUUAGAAUAAUUUUGAGAAUUUUCUAGUCAAUUUCUAAUAUUUAAAUAUCAACAUGGUUGUAGGUCCAACAUUUAUACCAAAAUAUUUACCAUUAAUUCUCAUGAAUUAAAAUUUUAUCAGUUAUAUAAAUAUUGACUAAAUUCUUGUCAUAAUCCAAUUUUGGCCCAUUGGCUUUUAAUUUAAUUUUUACAGGGUUUAAAAUGUAAAAUUAAAAUAUCAGAGACUUAUUUCAAUGAAAAGUGUGAUUUGUCAACUUGCGUGAAAAUUAAGGACUAUAAUGUGCUUUUGUCAUUCUAUCCUUAUCUUUGAGAUAAUCCUUACGUUCGAAAUAUUCUUUAUUUUCAAGAUAAUCCUUACCUUCAAGAUAAUGAAAGUUGUUUGAUUUUGAAUUCGAUUAUAAUUUGAAUUUCAAAAAAUUGAAUGAAUUUGAUUGAGACUUUACUUCUUUACAGACUCUUGCACUAUAAAUAUUGAUCCUAGUCUAUGCAAAAUAGAGGAGAAGGACAAUUAGAGAAAAACCCUAAAAAGGAGAAAACCCUAGGAGAAAGCCAUUACAAAAAAACUAAAAAAAACAGAUAUUUACAAAAAGAAAAGGGGCGCGGCCGAAUCCUAGAAUGGCGGCCGCUGCCCCUCCCCCUAGCUUCUUUGUCCCCGUCGUUCUUCCCCUCCUCCCUAAACUAGCCAAAGCAUCGCCUUCUCACAGGAACCGCUCCCUCACCCCUACUUUUAAAAGACCACCCUCUGGUCUCUCUCUCCGGAACUAGACCCUCUCCCUCAGCCCGUUUCUCUGUUUUCUCUUCACCACCAUCUUCAGCCUCACUUCCUUCCCUCCCUGCCAACUGAAGCCUCAACCACUGGGAGUAUGCACCAGCCAUAAUAGCACCCUCAUCUUUGGUUUAGGCAGCAUGACCACUCCAUUGCAGCGCUGCACCCUGGCAAAUGGCACACCCUCAGCCCAGUUAUGAGAAGUUCCUCUCCACUGUGACCAGUUUCCCAUAUCUCGGCCGAUGCUGCUCCAUCUCUCUGCUUCCCCCGUGACAACAGCUCAAACUAAUAGCCCCAUUGUGAUCCCCUAUUUUAGCUAUGGUUGAUAAUGACAACACAGGGAGCAGCAGCAGCACAGCAACCGGACACUCUCCCAGCCUCCAUUAAAGCAACAUUUAGAAGCUCUCCUUCGCGAUAGCAGCACCCUGUAAACUCCAUUCAGCAGUGAGAGUUCUUCAUUAUCGCCUCGUCUCUGCGCCAGGUAAGCUCUUCUCAUCUCUGUACAUGCAUAACAUAACUCACUUCCUUACUGUGCAUGUGAAAUUUAAUGCACCGAUCGUUGUUCAUCCACGCGUCCCUCACCUUCCUUUCCAGCCACAGCCACGACAGGUGAGUUCUCCUUCUUUCCCUGUUUGCUAAAAUUAAUUAGCAUAUUACUGUUGCUUGCAUGCGUGAAUUGUUCUCGCAUGCAUACAACAGUGGCCACACCGGGUCACUGAUUUGUACCAGUGACCCGACCCUUUUUUUUUUAGUUUUGAGACCAGGCUACAUAAAUUUAAAAAAAAACAGAAAAAUAAGAAGGUAGAAAAAAAAUGUGUAUGCACGAAUAAAAAUAAUGUAAAUUUAUUGGUUUAUUCACUGACGCCAGAGUCGGGAAUAAAAAAAUACCGGUUUAAAUUUAUAUUAUUUUUAUUCGUGGUACUUUAUUUUAUUUAGCUAGAAAAAUAAAAAAAUAUGUGCAUGCGUAAAAAUAAAUUUAUUUUUAUUUAUUUAUUCACUGGCUCCAGAGUCGGGAAUAAAAAAAAUAUUGGUAAAAUGUUUCUCCUGGUUUUUGAGUGAAAGUGGUGAUUUGUCUUUUGAAAGAGUUUGUUCUAUGAGAUGAAAAAAAACUUCUUUAAAAAUUGUUGUUGCAUUUCAUCCCAAGCACGAAUGGAUCCUGGUCUCAAAUUUUAUAGCCAUGUUUUAGCUUUAUCUUUUAAAGAAAAAGGAAAAAGCUUUAAUCUGAUAGUGUUCAUGCUACAAUUUGAGUCAUUAUAAGUGUUACAAUCUUCCUUAAAUUCUCUCAAAUGCAAGUAUGGAUUUUCUAGAUCUAAGCCAUGAAAAGAAGGUAAAAGUUGAAUAAUAUCUGACUUAAAAUUAAAAUGAGAUGCAUCAGGAGGAAAAAAUAUACAUGAUCGCGCAAUUGUUCUUGUUGGAUUCAUGUAGUCUCUAAGUGUUCUAACCCGAUUAUUCUCAUUAUUCUCAUUAUAAAGCGAUUGAUUAUCCUCUUCGGCCAUGUUUUCUAAAAAAGAUGAGUAUACUUUACAAAGUUUAUCAUUUAAUGUACGUGACCAAACUCUCAUGCACGUGUAGAAAGAGAAGAAAAGGAAGAAGAAAAGAAAAACAAAAAGAAACAAAACAAAAGAAACAAAGUUAGAAAAAAAAAAUACUAUAAUUUAUACAAGAAUUUACCUCCCCGGCAACGGCGCCAAAACCUUGACACUACCAAAAGAUUGAUGUCUUCUCCCAAGUGCAGGAGUGUCGAAGUAAUAAAUAACCCGGCAAGACCGGGGUCGAACCACAGAGAGGUUAAUUGUAUAAAUUAUAAAUAACAAGACAACAACAACAACAACAACAAUAAUAAUAAUAAUACUUAGUACGUGGCGUUGUUAUACCUGAGAAUGAUCUAAAAGAUCGGGUCACAGGUUUCCAGCCUAUAUACUGAGUUUAUGAAAAGAUCAAAGAGAUAAAUUAUAUAAUAUAAACAGAAUGUAAAUAAUAAUAAUAAUAAUAAUAAUAAUAUUAAUAAGAGGAGGAAGAAAUUAAUGAGAACUUUGAGAUGGAAGAUUAAUAUAAGGAUUAAACAAUGAUAAAAAUAAAUGUCAAGGUUAGAGAAUCCACCAAUGGUAUUUCAAACAAGUAUAGUAUAAACUCUUAUUAUUCAACUAGAAACCACACACAAAGGAGGUUCCAAUCGGAUGAUUUCUCAUUAAUAGCUCAUUAUAAAUUAUUAACAUGAUCAUAUUAAUUAUCUUAAUUACAUAACACCAAACUUUUAAAUAUUGUUAGGAAUUCAUGAUAUUAACUGAUGUUAACAACAAAUCAAGUUUCUUUUCAUAGCCCAGGUGUAGGUAAUACCAUACUAUUGGGCUAUGAGAGUGCCAAGCAUUUGUUGUACCAAGUGUUAUACAACACAAAUCUAGAUUAACCAUUUAACAAGCAAGGUAUUAAGAAUUAGUAAGAUAAAAAGAUAAUAUAUGUUAAUAUUAAACAUUAAGAUCCAUGUUUAGUUUACACUAUAUUUAUUCUUACACCAUUAGUGUAACCUUUUCACCUUGACAUAAUAAACUUAGCUAAACAUAAUGAAGAAGAGAAACAUAAAUAAACAAAACAAGAACAUAAAGAAAAUACAAGUUAACUAAGUAAAGGAAAGGAAAUGAAAAGCAUAAACAAGAUAUUAAUGAAAACAAAACUUAAAAAUUACAAAAAAAAUAUAAAGAGAGAAGUAAAGAGCAUGAGCUUGAUCUGAACAACCAAGCCCCUAAAUACAUGGAAAAUGCCUCCUUUUAUAGGCUAAAAUUCGGAAUUAUUGAUUUGAUGACUAAUUGUUGAGUUGGUGGCCAACUUUUGACUUGAUGAAAAUCCUUAUCUUCUUGUCUGAAUAAAACAAAAAUGCUACCAUCCGAACUGGGUCCACUAGAAAGAUGAAAGUUGUAGGAAAUUGACUCAGAUUUUCAAGAAAAAAAAGUAGAGGUCAUUGGGACUUCUAAAACUCCAGAUAUGGGCCAAACACUGAACAGUGUUUGGGCUGCAGGAUAGAUUCGGACUUCUCCGUUGUUGCUAUGAUUUGGACUUGAAAACGGCUUUGAUAGAUUUUUAUGUUCACAUGAAAGUUGUAGGCCUAUGUCUCACCAAGUUUGUGUAAAAAUUUGAGAUCAUUUGGACAUCUAGAACUCGAGAUAUGACCCAAAUACCGAAUAGUGUUUCAGUUUGGACUGCACCAACAUCUCUUUUCUAAGUUCACCCUUCUUUAUCUUCAAAAUUUCAGAAGUUGAAUUCAUCAAUCAAUCCUUUGAUUUAUGUGAUAAGCCUGCAUUUAAGAUGAACAUUUACCAUAUAUUAAGGCAUUUUGUAGUAUUAGACUUGUUAUUAUAAAACAUGCUUUAGUUAAGGAGUUAUUGAUACUUUAAGUGCAAAAUGAUGAUAUAAAACCUUGAUAAAUAUGCAUUUUUAAGUACUAAUCAGGACGCAUCAAAGUGUAGUGAGAAAGAUAUUGAAUAUUCUUGUACUAGAUUAUAAAGGUUUAAUAAGCACAAAUUAGAGUAUAACCAAUGAUUGAUGAUUUUAAAGUAGUUUUGCUUUUAGAAUAGCUUGUAUAUAACAUAUGUUUGGAUUCCCUUGUUAAUUUUAAAAUUAGACAAGCUAUAUAUAUGUUUUUAAAAAAAACUUGUUGUUUAUAAUCGUUACAGUCUCAUUAACAACUAAAACGGUCAAUUAGUUUAAAUUGAUCAAGUCAAUCUGUUGACUAAUUCUUGCAAAAUUCUCUUGUAUCCAUCACUGAUAAAUAUAGAUAAGCCGAUUCAUUUGGUCAUACCUAACGGUCGACUAGUUCAUGUAUAAUUUCAAUUAUGAUAGAUUAACCUAGGUGAAUUUUUAGAAUCGUCUAUCUUAGAUUUUAUCAUAUGAUUUAUCAAUUCUUUAAAGUAUGCAUGGUGAAGUGUGUGAAUUUAUUGUAAUUGUGUUAUCAAGUAGGAUAUAAAGAUUUACAUCGAGCACUUAAAAUGAAUACUAAUCUAAGUCUUCAUUUGCUUUCUUUUUUGAAUGCUCGAUUGAUUUCUUCACGAAAUCCAUCAUGCUCGUUUUUAUACUCUUGAAUAAAAAUAUUUAAAACUUAUUCUCACCAAGGCAUAUUAUUAAUCUAUUUUCAUUUUAUUGUUAUAAUUAAAAUAUGUAAAAAUAUGAAUAUUUUGAUUUAAAGGUCAACAAUUAGCUUUUAAUGAAUAUAAUGAUAUUCGUUCAAAUUUAUGUAACUAAUGCUAUUUAAUUUUUUAUUUUUGUUGGAUUGAAAUGAAGGAGAACAAUGGGGAAAUCGUUAGUAAAAUUUGAUUUUUUUGGUUGGCUUGAAAUGAUCAAGAAUUGUUUAGCAAUUAGUUAUAAACAUGAUUUUAGUGGGCUUCUUAAAAUGUAAUGAUUUUUGGUUGGCUUGAAAAUUUUCAAAUACCUGUCUGUUGGAAAUUUCUGCUUCAAUUUCCACCAGAGCCAACCCUUUGCCAUGACCCAGUCAAGAGUCAUGUACUAUCCAACCCCUCUUCCAUUAGGCCAUUACCACACUACCCUAUUUCCUUGCAGCAUUUCAGUACACCCAGAACACCCACCACCAUCACGCCCUUCUAAUUCAAUUUUUUUAUUUUUGUUGGGUUGAAAUGGAGGGGAACUAUGGAGAAAUCUUUUGUAUAAUUUGAUGUUUUUGGUAUAUAAAUCAACUUCAAUUUGAUGUUUCAAAUUUUAUUGUUUACAUGUUUUUUUUUUAUAUUUUUGAUGCUUGAACAAUAAGUUAUAAACAUGAUUUUUGUGGGUUUUUUUUAAAAUGUAAUGACUUGGUGCAACAGUAAGAUUGUGAUUUUUUCAAGAAAGUUGUCAAUGGUAAAAUUAUUUUUUUUGUGUUGUUUUUUGUUUUCCAUGGCUCUUUAAUCAUUAAAAUUAUUAUAAUGGCAAACAUGGAAAUAAUAACAAAAUUUUGUUGAUUUUUAUUUUGGUGCCAAAAUAAAGAACGUGAAGUGUAUUGAAGUUAUUAAAGCUCCUGAGGGAAAAAGUACUUUACUAAACUUUGAAGAAAAAGUGAAAAACGAAAAGUAAUUAUCCUUUUUUCUAUAUAUAAAGCUAAUUAUUAGUAUUUGUGUUCAACCUUAUUUCUAAUUAAGAAAGAUACUAAAACAGUAAUAUAAUUCUUAAGAAAUAGGUUGAUUUCAUUCAUUUAUAAAUUUAUCUACCGUAAUACCAUAUAUAAUAUAAGACUUUACUUUCACUAUUAAAAUUAUAAAAAUGGUUAAAAAGAAGUCAGAUAAAGCAAAUGAUUCAAAUUUAAAAAGCAAUUAAAUCACAUCAAGAUUUAGAAGUAUUAACUAAUUCUUUUCUAAAAUAUUCCAUGAGAGUGAUGUAUGGUAUUUUAAGUAAUUUUAAAUUAUAUAAUAAAAGAAAAUAGGAAGAAGAGAAUCAAUGACUUGAAAGUUUUUUUACGAAGUCUUGGUAAACCAUGGAACAGGAUCGAUGGUACAACGUGGUCCAGGGGUUAACACAGAAAAACGAUGCCAUUUCCCAUUAGCAUACUUUUCCUGCUAUCCCAAAAUUUUCAAAUACCUGUCUAUAGGAAAUUUCUGCUUCAAUUUCCUCUUGACUGACUUAAACAACUUUUCAGCCAACGUACCAGAGCCACCCAACCAUUGCCAUAACCCAGUCAGGAGUCAUGUACUAUCUAACCCUCUUCCAUUAGGCCAUUACCACACUACCCUCUUUCCUUGCAGCAUUCCACACCAGAACAACCACCACCAUCAUCCCCUUCUAAUUCCUCCACCAAUGCACCCCUCAGCACGCUGCUGCCACCUCCUUCCUUUCCACCUCUAUUGUUCCUCCACUUAACGGCAUCAUCUCCUUCGAAUUACAUGAUUGAUUUCCAAACUGCAACCAAAACUUCUCUUGUGGUGACCUCACAAACAUCAAUUACCCUUUCCCCAGUGGCCAACUUCCACCCGACUGCGGCCCACAGGAGUUCAAUUUCACAUGUCAUGGUGACAAAGUGACCACCCUCAUAGUUAAAUCACUGCCUUACCGAAUCAAUCGGGUUGACCACACCAGCCAUACCUUAAGGCUCUCACGUUCAGACUUCUACGAUGACUUUCCAUGCCCCCACCUAUCCAGUAACACCACUUUUGAUAACGUUACCUUCAGCCUUGCCUCCGACCAUGAAACCCUUACUUUCUUUUAUGGGUGCACGGACUUAGGUGGCUCUGUCAAGGAAAACUCUAAGUUCUCAUGUCCCAUGCCAGGAUAUUUAGAAGAAGGGUUUUUCAAGGUUGGUGAUCAUCCUUAUGUGGAUCGGUGUCCGACUAGUUUUCAAGUGCCAUUUCUCCGGAGGUGGAAACAACAACUUGAGGCUGAAGGGUCAUCAUUACUUGGUAAGGUUUUGAAAGAAGGGUUUGAUGUACGUUAUAGUGAUCCUUACAGUGCUGAUUGUCAGAAGUGUUCCAAGCAUUCUGGUAGGCAAUGUGGGUUUGAUGGUAUUUGCAUCUGUAAUGAUCAGCUCUGUCCUGGUAAGUUAAAAUCGACAUUAAUUUUGACUAGCCAAAAUCUUCUAGUUUCCUUACGAGUUUGAUAGCUUUCAAGACAAGCUAGGCCUUCUUGUGGUAAUUGAUAUGGAGGGUUUUUUUUAUCAAAUUAUACAAAGCUUCAAUGAUUUCAAGAAUUAAUGCUUGAAUUGCUUGCAAGGCUCACAAGUCCAGUAGCUUCAUUUACUGGUAGUGAAUAAUAAAUUAUAGCAUUCAUUCAAUGUUCAUGUUAAGAGGUUCAAUGUUCAAAAUUAUGCUUCUUUGCUUGAGUCUGUGUUCGGUUCUAUGGGGUUAUCAUUUGAACUCAACAAUAUGAUCCAUUUCUUCUUCAUCAGAUGUUAAAUAAUUCUCGUUUAAGCUCUGCUAAAUUUUUUUUGCAAUAAUUAAUGCUUUUUUCUCUAGUAGUUGCGGUCAGUGAUAGGAAAAAGUUGCGCUAUUCAAUUACUCAAAAGGGUUUUCCCCUGCUUUUCUCUGUUUUGACCCACCAUUUUUGCUUGUUUCUCCAUGGAUAACCUGCAUCCUUUACUGUGGCCGUUGUUUAGGUCCAUAGCAUGUGUGUCCAUAAUCUGACUGAAUUCCUGAAUUAGUUUGUAUUUAACAAAUAAUAAUUAAGAUAACCACAAUCAAAUUUUAGAAGUUUCUUGCUAUCUGAUCUUGCUAAGUCCCAAAUUUGUUCCAAACUUUUUAUUCAUGCGUCAACUAAUGCUUCUCGCUCUCGUGAAUUUUGCAGAGAAGUCUAACCGAAAACGACUUAUAAUAGGUACAACUCUGCUACAUUACUGUAUUAAAUCAGCACUGAAAAGAAAAGCUGAGCAGUUUCAUUUUUAUCAUUUCCAGGAGUCAGCUUGGCAAGUGGAGCACUUGUUAUCUUUGUGGGAUGCUGGAUCAUGGUUAUCAAACAUAUGAAGAAAAGAAAAUCUGCCCUAGUGCAAAGCGAAGGCCUUCCUGCAGUUACACCUACUUCAAGCAACGGCCUUGCUACUUCAAUUAAUUUCUUUCGAGCUACUCCUUCUCUUGCCAACUUGAAGUCUGACCUUGAUAAGGGCAGCACCUAUCUUGGAGUCAGGGUGUUCAGCUACAACGAACUCGAGGAAGCCACUAAUUGUUUUCAUUCUUCAAAAGAACUUGGAGAAGGAGGGUUUGGCACUGUUUACUAUGGUUAGAAGAUGAAAUUAUUUUAUUUUGCAGUAUAGUAACUUUGCAUAAAUUAACUUCUUUGUUGACUCCUUUCUAAAGUUUUAACGUAAUUGCUUGAAUGAUCAGGAGUACUCAGGGAUGGGCGUGUGGUUGCUGUCAAGCGCCUAUAUGAGAGCAACAUGAGACGUGCUGAGCAGUUUAUGAAUGAAGUUGAGAUCCUAGCUCAUUUGCGGCACAAGAACCUGGUGGAACUCUAUGGAUGCACCUCAAGGCAUAGCCGAGAGCUUCUACUUGUUUAUGAAUACAUGCCUAAUGGAACCGUCGCUGAUCAUCUUCAUGGAAGACAGUCGAACUCUGGUUUGCUCACUUGGCCUGUUCGGUUGAGCAUUGCUAUAGAGACAGCCAGUGCACUCGCAUACCUCCACGCUUCAGAUGUCAUACAUCGUGAUGUCAAAACCAAUAACAUUCUCCUAGACAACGACUUCCAUGUGAAAGUGGCUGAUUUUGGCUUGUCGAGAUUGUUCCCAACUGAUGUAACUCAUGUAUCGACUGCUCCUCAAGGGACGCC